Molecule: long non-coding RNA, 56852 nt
Filed under: Zea mays
Lineage: Eukaryota; Viridiplantae; Streptophyta; Magnoliopsida; Poales; Poaceae
Source: RNAcentral
UCGCUUAGUUCCUCGAAGCCCUUUCCUUGCUAUCUUCACCCUAUCAAGCCAUUCUUGAGUCACAUCAAAUUGAGCAUCCAUUGAGAGAAUCAUUUCUUCAAUAUUGUGAACCUUGCUUGAAUGUCUUCUAGAUAUAAUUGUCAAGAUCAAUCAAGCUCUAGUUUGAUUCUCAUAGAAGCAUAUAUGGACUGACAGUAAUAUGGUCAAGCCAAUUCACGAUUCCUCAUAUCUUAUUCUCUUUGGCUUGACCAAUCCUCUAAAUCACUUUGUCCUCUAUUCUGGUCAUAUGUAUGUAGUGAUUUCUCAGGUCUUGUCCAUAUAUUCAAACCAAUAUAGAGAUCAUAUUAUAUCCAUUUGCAUUGUCUCAUUGGUUAUAUAACCUCGUGUUGAACCUUUGUUCACUGAUCAUUAUACACUAUUCAAGUAUGUUCAUCAUACUGAAUUUCCUGUUCAACACUUAGCAAACUCGUUAGACCUUUAAAUGUGUUGUUAUUCAAAUCACCAAAACUCACAAAAGGGACACGAGGAUUUUCAGUCCUCUGCUCUACCAAAUGAGCUAUCCUGACCCUUUCUUGUGCAUCAUCUUAGUAAAGUAUUUGCAUCUAUGUCAAUUAAAGGGACUAAAAAAUCAAUAAAGUAUUCCAUUCAAAAUUAGGAAAUGGGGAGGGGUAGUCCUAUGCAUUGUGGAUGGCUUACUUAAUAAUACUUAAAAAAACGAAUUAAUAAUCGAGAUUCCUUGCCGAUACUCUACUCUAAUAAAUAAAAAAGAAAUAAAAAAGAAAUCAUCUAUUUAAUGAAUAGCAUAAGAUUCAUUGAGUUCUUGUCGCACUCCUUUGUGAAAGAGUAGAAUGAGAAAGCUAGUGAAUCUUAAACCCAUUGAUAAAAGAAAAAAAGGAUAACAACUAUGGUUAGGGAAUAAAAGAGGGUUUGGGGAUAGAGGGACUUGAACCCUCACGACUUAUAAAGUCGACAGAUUUUCCUUUUACUAGAAAUUUCAUUGUUGUCAGUAUUGACAUGUAGAAUGGGACUCUCUCUUUAUCCUCGUCCGAUUAAUCCACUUUUAAAAAUUAAAAGAUCUCGAAAACAAUGAAUUGAAGGAUUUGAUUACUCAAUAUUUGAUUGGAAUAGAUUCACAAUAAUUCUAAAAAAAUUAUGAAUUUUCUAUUUCAUAAUCAUUCCUAAUUUCAUUCUAAAAAUAAAAUAAAGAACCUAUAUUAUAAUAUGGGUUCUGUGAUUAAUCGUUAUUACUUCGAUUCGUUAGAACAGCUUCCAUUGAGUCUCUGCACCUAUCCUUUUCCUUUGGGUUCUAGUUUGAGAACCACUUGUUUUUCAAAAAAGGGAUUUGGCUCAGGAUUGCCCAUUUUUCAUUCCAGGGUUUCUCUGAAUUUGGAAGUUACCACUUAGCAGGUUUCCAUACCAAGGCUCAAUACAAUCAAGUCCGUAGCGUCUACCGAUUUCGCCAUAUCCCCAUUUUACUUUUCUUUGAAACCAGGAUUCCUUGUAUAAUUUAAUCCAUCUCUUAGUUUUUUUUGAAUCAUUGAAUUCAUUAUUCGACGUAGUCUAGCAACUCAUCUCUAUUUGAGACACCCCGCUCACUUAUUGCAAUUCAGAAUUGCAUUGAUUUUAUCGUUGAUAUAUUUGCAAUUCAAUCGGAAUGAAUAUAUCCAAAAGUUUUUCUCUCUCCCGCCUCCCUCCUUCCUUUUUUAGAGUAUUCCAAAUCAUACUAUAACGCUUGAUAUUCAUUCUUUUUUUCUAAACUGAAUUAGAAAUUUCAUUUGCUAUGAUUCCUUCUUCUCCUUAGUGAACUAUUUAUCCUUAAAUUAUUAACAAAUAAAAAAACAAAAUAUCUCAAAAAUGUAUAUAAUGAUCAAAUGAAAAUGCCAAUCUCUUGGCAUUUUCUCUUUAUUAUAUUAUUCAUAUAUAUUCUUCUUUUUCUUCUUUUCUAUGUAUUAGAUUAUUCCUCCGAGCCAUAUCAAAUUGAAAAUAUCUGAAAUCAAAUUCAAUAUAGAAUUUGGAAUAGAUUCUAUUAAAAAAAAUCCAUUUGUGAAUUAGAGAAAUAAAAAGAAAGUUCAAUAAAUUCUAUAAUCCUAUUUAAGAAUAUCAUUUAGUUAAGCAUAUCAAGCUAACUUUAUCUUUAUGAAAUUCUAGUAUUUUUUUUCUAUCUAAGUGGAACUUCCAAUUUAGAACUAGUUAAUAACUAAGAUUAAUAAUUAAGAUCUGACAUUUUACAGAUUCCCUAUAUAUAUUUUUAUUUGUUACACUAUUUCUGUUAUGUAAGCCCACUUAGCUUAGAGGUUAGAGCAUCGCAUUUGUAAUGCGAGGGUCAUCGGUUCAAAUCCGAUAGUCGGUUUUUUUUCCUAUCGAUGUUCUAUGAACAAGAAUUUCUCUUUUUCUCCGAAUAAAAUGGGGAAUCCAGGGUCUAUUAUGUCGUUUUACCUUACAAUUUUGCUAGAUACAAAGCAUAAAAAUAAAUAAUAUAUAUACAAAAAAUCCAGAUGUUGAUGAAAUUCCAUUUUUUGUGUUACUCCAUUUUUUGUGUUACUUUAGUAGAUUUUACUCUGUUUAUCCUUUAGUUUAAUUCUGUUUGAAUUUCGCUGUAUUCUGUAAUGUAAAUAGAACAAAAUUUAUUGUGUAAAAUGAAAUUUCAAUAAAAUAAAAAAGGAGUCUUCAUGUCCCGUUAUCGAGGGCCUCGUUUAAAAAAAAUACGCCGUUUGGGAGCUUUACCAGGACUCACUAGAAAAACGCCUAAAUCCGGAAGUAAUCAGAAAAAGAAAUUCCAUUCUGGGAAAAAAGAGCAAUAUCGUAUUCGUCUUCAAGAAAAACAGAAAUUGCGUUUUCAUUAUGGUCUGACAGAACGACAAUUACUUAGAUAUGUACAUAUCACUGGAAAAGCAAAAAGAUCCACAUGUCAGGUUUUACUACAAUUACUUGAAAUGUGUUUGGAUAAUAUCCUUUUUCGAUUGGGUAUGGCUUCAACCAUUCCUGGGGCCCGACAAUUAGUUAACCAUAGACAUAUUUUAGUUAAUGGUCGUAUAGUUGAUAUACCAAGCUUUCGUUGCAAACCCCGAGAUAUUAUUACUACGAAGGAUAACCAACGAUCAAAACGUUUGGUUCAAAAUUAUAUUGCUUCAUCCGAUCCGGGCAAAUUACCAAAGCAUUUGACGGUUGACACAUUGCAAUAUAAAGGACUAGUAAAACAAAUUCUAGAUAGGAAGUGGGUCGGUCUCAAAAUAAAUGAGUUGUUAGUUGUAGAAUAUUAUUCUCGCCAGACUUGAACUUAACGAAAAAAGGAAAGGUUCAUAGAAAUUUUUUCCCCUUCCCCUUUCCCCGAACUAAAUCGACCUAAGGCUCUUAAUUCGUAUUUUCCCGUUCACCUAGCAGAAAUAGAUUAACCCUAGGAUACUUUUUUCUUUUUUGUUAUUUCCUCGAUGUGUAUUUUACAUACCACAGUAAUUUGCUAUAGAGAAUUUCUAUUAAUUAAAGGUAUUAUUGUUGGAAUAAAUUAUUAUUUAAUUUGAUACAUUGUGAUCGCUAACAUUGAUGAAUUAAGAGAAACGGAAAGAGAGGGAUUCGAACCCUCGGUAAACAAAAGUCUACAUAGCAGUUCCAAUGCUACGCCUUGAACCGCUCGGCCAUCUCUCCUACAUAAUCUUAUUAUGGAAAAUAAACUGAGUGAAUAGCGAGUUUUCGUAUUCCUGCAGUACAGGUACAGCCACAACGGCUCGGGAAUUCCAUGGCUCUAUUGGAUUGGAUGGAAAAAUUCCUUUUCAUCUAAGUGGAAGGAUCCUGUAUUUUUUUACUAGGAAUUAUGCUCCCUCGAAAAGUUUUUCUUUGGGGAAAACCAAAAUAAAAAGAGAAUGGAAGAAUUCUUCUUAUUCCAUAAGAAAAUAAAGGAACCCUAGAAUUCCAUUUGCAUAAGGUACAUUACGCCAUACAAUCUAAAUAUAAAAGGGGUAUGGGGCAAUUAAUGACUUUGAAAACGCGAAAUAGCUGAUGAGGGAAGUUGUUGUUGAGAAAUAGGAAAGUGGAAUGAAAUCCAGUCUUAGUCAAAUAUUUCAUAUCUCUUCUCUUCUUGUCCAAACAGAAGGAAAAGGAGGCAAUUUGAGCUGAGCGGAAAAUCCAUAUCUCUCUUAUCCAUUUAGAGCAUAUGGAUCGAUUUAUAAGAAUCGAAUGUUUUGUUUUUAUGUUAUUUUGUGAUAGAAUGAAAAGAAUUCUAUAUAGAAUGGGUUGGGAAUUAUGCCUAGAUCCCGUAUAAAUGGAAAUUUCAUUGAUAAGACCUCCUCGAUUGUAGCCAAUAUUUUAUUGCAAAUAAUUCCGACAACCUCCGGGGAAAAAAGGGCAUUUACUUAUUAUAGAGAUGGUGCGAUUUGACUCUUUUUUUAGCCCUACCUAUAUCUCAUUCUUACGAGAAAGAGAGAGGGUUCGCAUAGAGAGAACAAAAUUAGUAAAGGAAACCCGCGCUUGGGGAAGGUGAGGUGAACUAACAAUUCCUUCUGUCGUGUAUCCUCGAUUGAUGUGGCCUCAGAUGCUUCAAUUGUAGAUUUGAGUAUUGAGCGAAAGGUUACACCUACAGGAUAGGUUCUGUAUUACAGGGCAAUCCGACUCUACUAGUACCAAUAGGCAGCAUAGGGGAGAAAAGCACUACACCACGAAAUAGGAAUCAACAAGAGAAAAACUUUGUUAGAAAUUAGCCCUUUCCUGAUUGGUAUAAGGGUUGGGAAGAAUGGUUGGGAUAACAAACAACCAUCAGGUUUGUACUUUGGAUACCCUUAUAACCAUCAAAGGUCGUUGAAGUGGCUAAUUCCUCUAAAUAGGAGGCAUUGAGAACAAAGAAAUUCUUGGAGCUAUCGUUUUCCUCUAGCAUUAAUAUAAUUCAUUGGUGUUAAGAAAAACCUCUUGGGGGAAGGUUGGCUAGAGAUUUCUUGGAAAAAUACCAGCCCCCUUCGGUCCAUAAUGAGAUGGGACUAAUUCGAUUUUUAUUCUAUAGAUUUUUUGCUUAGUACUAUGUAUAGAAGGGAGAAGCCGUAUGAGAUGAAAACCUCAUGUACGGUUUUGGAACGGAGAUUUUUUGAAUAGAAUGAACGACCGUAACGGAUGUUGGCUCAAUCCAAAGGAAAUUAUGUGGAAGCUUUGCAGAAUUAUUAUGAAGCUACGCGACUAGAAAUUGAUCCCUAUGAUCGAAGUUAUAUACUAUAUAACAUAGGCCUUAUACACACAAGCAAUGGAGAGCAUACAAAGGCUUUGGAAUAUUAUUUCCGGGCGCUAGAACGAAACCCCUUCUUACCGCAAGCUUUUAAUAAUAUGGCCGUGAUCUGUCAUUACGUGCGACUAUCUCCACUAUAGAAAGAAGAAAAAAAACAAAGGAGGAAAUUUUCUAGUGAAUACUAGAAAAGAGGGCUUUCUACAUAGGGAUCGUCAAAACAACGAUUUUACCCUAUCAGCUGUAGGAAGGAAGGACACUUCACGAGAAUCAAAAUAGGAAGAAAGUAGAGCCUAUACUACUAUUCUAUGGAUAAAGCUGAAAUUGAUAGAGAAAACACCGUAAAGAUCAAUUAGUGAGCGACUGGGUCGAUACAACUAAAAAACUGCUUCAUUAUACCACGAUAUGGGACAAAAUUUAGGAAUCCGCUUAUGUAAUAAAGCCGAUCCACUAAGGGAUUAAGCAGCGGUGUAGUAUCAGAUCCCAAAGAUAGUAAGUUCUUUUUUCUUUCUUAUGGAAAAAUGUCUUUUUCCAGGAUUCUAUAGAAAUUUCAUAUAUGAAAGAAACGAAACCGAGAUAGUUACCUUUCAGAAAAUUCGAACGAAGGAUAUAGGUCUAUCUAUGCUUCAUUCUUCUGAAGGUGGGAGAAAAGAUCAAACUGAUUAUUGAUCAAAAUUAGGGUUUGAAACUUAGGUAAUUAACUUCUUCUGCUUAACCCAAGAAGAAAUUGGAUUGAUUUUUGAGAAAUCGAGUUCAGUUAAGAUAGGGGAAAUUAAGAUAGCAAUUUCUGAGCCGUAUGAGGUAGGAAACUCUCAAGUACGGUUCUAGGGAAAGGAACUGCCUAUUCCAACUGAGGAGAACAGGCCAUUCUACAGGGCGAUUCGGAAAUUGCGGAAGCUUGGUUUGAUCAAGCUGCUGAGUAUUGGAAACAAGCUAUAGCGCUUACUCCAGGAAAUUAUAUUGAAGCACAGAACUGGUUAAAGAUUACGAAGCGCUUUGAAUUUGAAUAAGACCACUCUCCAUUUUCAUAAAAAGGGUGGUUUUGUUGAAAAUCAAAUCAAGAAUUUCAUUAUAUCCCUUUCGUAUGACAUAUGUAGCACUUAACCCUUGCAUAUGUCAACCCGCCACCUGGGUUCUUAAGACUAGAUCAGGUUCACGCCAACCGAGAGCACAGAUACACCACCUUCCAGCCUCUUGCCACGGAGGGUACACGCUACUCUUGCCACCGCUCCACGCCCAUUGCGUGUUAUCUUAUUCUGGCCUUAGUCUGCCCGAGGCAAGGCUUACCCAUGACGAGGCAUGUGACCAGUUAAAGGGUCCUCGAUCAGCACGCCUACAUACGCAUUCAAUCCUUAAUCAACCUGGGUAGAACAUCACCUGUUCCUAGCCCAAGUCUCGAUUUAAGUACUUCCAUCCUUAGAAUUGUUUCUGUUCCUUAGGAUGAAAAGAGCAUUACAGAGAACUUUGCAGUAAGAUCCUACCAUUGCUCCCAAUGAAAAUAAUCUUGCAGGUAGAAGCCAUCCUUUCUCGAGCUAGGCUAAGAAUAACCUCUAUCCACAAGAUCUAAGCAGGGCUAAGCAUUUUUGUAAAUCAUGUUUUGAUACUUCACCAUAAGUACCUAUAUAGGUGUGGAUAGCAAGGAAGGCAAUGCAUCAAAAGGUUCCAAGCAACUCCUAUAAACUUAAUGCACAUUUCACUAGACUUAAAGUGUGCAAAAAUUAUUUAAAACAUAAAGAAGGGGUUGCAUGCACCGGGGCUUGCCUGGGUAACACUACGUUAGUGUUGUUAGACAAUGUCCACUUGACGAUCAUCCUUGUCCUAGCACUUGAUUAGGCAGGUCCGUUCAUCAGCAUCACCACGCGGAGUAGCCCGCGCUUGGGGUCGACUUGGUUCGUCUUCCGCAUCACGUGAUUAAUUAUCGUACCUGAAUGGAAUGCAUUAUGCACAUGAAUGCAUAUAGACAUGAAUACCACGAGCCUAAAUAGUGCUACGCGAUAGCGAAUUUAAACAUCUAGUGGCGAGGCGUUGUACAAUUUUGUACGGAAUCACUAGCUAGUUAUUAAUAUACGACUACACGCAAUAAUUACGCUUCUCGAACCUAACGCAAACAUCACGAACAACAAACUAUACACAUGAAAUACAAUUAGCCUAAUCACAACUUAUCAGUUAAUUAAUUAAAUUCUGAACUAAUCCCUUGCCUUAUAAAUUAUACUACAUCUUUAUAAAUGAUUAAAAUAUUUUAUCAUCACACAUGCCUACCAAAAUUCUACUCGGUCCACUAAUUCAGCUAAGUGACCAGAAUAGCGAAAUAAUUCGUCAUAGCUGAAUCUGGCUCGAUAAUCGCAAGAACUGCGAAGUCGACGAGAGUUUCGUGACUCACGCAAUUUAUCGAGCACCUUAAUGAGUAUCGCACUAGAACAUUAAUUUAUUCAACGAUCGAACUAUUCUGAAUAAUUUAUCAGCUUACCGUUUCAGCAGCUGACUCGAAGCCGCAAGAUCGAUAGCGAUUUUCCGAUCCAAGCAAUUUGUCGAACACUUGGGGAAUAUCGUGCUGCUAGCCUCGUCUUCACCCGAUUCUUGGGAUUUCUUGAUGACACACGGAUCGACGACGAUCAGGAGGGUGACAUAUAUAGAGCUGUAUUCGCGACGCGAUGACGAACGACGCUAACCGGCGGAAUCGACGACGCAAUUGGGAAUUAAAACCGAGCGAGCCGAGAGGGCACACAGGCGAGCAGGAAACCACGCGAGUACAAGAUAUGGAAAAUGACGGACUCGACAACACGCGAAGCGACGACGGUCGAAUCGGCAAUAAAGCGUUAGCGAAUUCGAUAAACACGACCUCAGUCGCGUGCUGACGCGGUUAAGAUAAUUGUGGCUAGCAAGUUUGCGACAGAGGCGAUGAUGGCAUGACACAACAAACUGAAACAGGGAUACGAUAACAUGGGGCUCGAUUCAACGCGGGAGCUCGACGCGGAAACUUGACACGCUAUGGCGAGCAGAGAACUUCGCGCGCGCCCUAGAAGAGUUCGACACGCGCAGUAGGGGCGAGCAGCAGGCGCCGAGCUGCGCGCAGGCACGCGACGGCCACGGCAAGGAAGCUCCGCAAGCUGGGCAACUACGCGUCCGUCAAGCAGAGCAGGGCAGUCGUGCCAUGGGAAAAAAAAGCAGCGCGCGCCUAGGGAAGCAGACUCCGGCAAAUCCCAGGGCGCGGCCAUGGGAGACUCGGUAGGGGCAUGACCGAGCAAAAAUGGAGCUCGGCAAACUCCAUGGGCGAGCAGAGCGCAGGGCGCUCCGGCCAGGCGAGCAGGGAGAGUACGCUAUGACUGGAAACUUGGGGAAUAAAUAAAAACGCGGCGUGCAGAGAGAAGCGACUGCCAGACGCCAUAGGAGACAGGGCGCGAUCCGAGCUCCACGACGCACAGGAAGAUGAAGAAAAACGGCUCGGCUGGGAGAUCCGGCGAGGUACUGCCGGGAGGAGCUCGCGGCUGGCCACAGAAAUCCGGGCCAGAAGGCGCGGCAGAGGAGGAGAAAUCCGCGCGCUAGGGAAACUCGACGGCUGAGCAGAAGGGCUGGAGGGAAAGGGAGGGAGGAGCGCUGGCGAGGAGAUGUGCUCGGCGCGGCGGCCAUGGAGGAGAGCAGGGGGAUGGGCGCGCCGUCAUGGGAGAGCGCCCGAGAGCUGCGCGGUCCGAGCACCAUGGGACGAGCGGAGUUCGGGGAGGAGCUCGACUGCGGUGCGUGCGCAGGGAGUUGGGAUCGGCAGGGAAGGAAGAAGCCGCGACGGGCAGUGAACCUUGGCCGGGCGCAGAAGGAUGCGCCAUGCGAGCACCGCGCGCAGACCAAGGAGAAACAGGGGACGCGCCAUAGCUGAGAGAUGAGCUCGGCUGGGAGCUACGCGCGGCCGGGAGGAGGAAGAAGCAGAGCGCGCGCCGGAGGAGCAGAGGAGAUGGACGCGCGCGCACAGAAGCUGGAGCAGAAGCACCACGCAAGGGAGAAGCUUGGCUGGAGAUUGAAGAAGAGGCUCCAUGCGUAUAAAAAGGAAAGCAGGGGCGGCAGAAAAAUCCCAGGCAGGGGCGGCUGGGCGGCGUAGGGAUAGGAACGGUAGUUUUUUUAUUUUAUUUUAUUUUUCUUUUUUUACAGAAUCCUAGAUAUUUUUGAAUUGUGAUUUUUAGCGACGAUUAAAGCGUCGACGCGUAACACGGCAAACGGCUAUACACUCUAUUUUCUGAAUCACGAAACGGAAAAUCAGAGAAAUAACAGCAUAGACGGUUCUGUUCGAAUUUCGUUGGGUAAUUUUUGUGACUAUUCCGGUCACGAUGUAAACGGACCAAUUUGCAACGAGUUUGGCUUCGAUAUUUUAAUCUACUCUGCGUGAUUGGCCGAAACCAGAGCCGCUAAUGUAUACGCGAUUUCGUCGCCAAAACAGCGUGCCGAAGAAUAAAUUGAAUUAUAUCCUUGCACACGGUUUCACUCAGACGACGCACGAUUCAGAUUAUUUUGCACCGAGUAUUUUAUUCGUCGAGUUCAAAUUAAUCUGUCCGGGAUAAAAAGGCGUAGAAAGAGGUCGAGCUUCUGAAUUCGGAUUCGCGCGGCAAUGAAUUUUAAUUAAUUAUCGGACGCACCGAUUUUCGGAUCGACGAUGUUCCGAACAUCCCGAGAAUUUAGGAAGAGCCCGGAUAAAUAGAAGUAAAAAUGAUGUCGCACUCGCGACAAAUGGAACAGAUGCGAUAUUAAAAUCGCAAUAGGCGAAAAUAAUUAGACCUUAGCGUCCGUCUUAUUCACUGAUAUCAUGUGCUUAAAUCCGUACUCGUUGUCGAGCGGAAUAUAAACACCUGGGAUGUUACAAUUCAAUUUAUCAAUCUUAGCAUUUAAACUAGCAUUUUCAUUUCUAAGAUUGCUAAUUGAAUCAUGGCACAUGCUAAGCUCCUUAGUCAAAUUUUAACAUUUUUCAACUUCCUGAGCAUAAGCAUUUUUUACUUUAACAUGUUUUUUGUUUUCUUUAAUAAGGAAUUCCUCUUAGCUAUCCAAGAGUUCAUCCUUCUCAUGAAUGACUCCUAUCAAUUCAUUUAAUUUUUCCUUUUGUUGCAUGUUGAGGUUGGCAAAAAGAGUAAGCAAAUCAUAUUCAUCUUCACUAGAACUACCCUCAUCACUAGAUGUAGUAUACUUAUGGGUGGUUCUAGAUUGUACCUUCUUCUUUUUGCCGUCCUUUGCCAUGAAGCACUUGUGGCCGACGCUGGGGAAGAGAAGGCCUUUGUUGAUGGCAAUGUUGGUGGCAUCCUCGUCGGAGGAGGAGGAGUCGGUGGAGCUCUCAUCGGAGUCCCCAUUCCCGACACACGUGGGCAUCGCCGCUCUUCUUCUUGUAGUACUUCUUCUAUUCCUUCUUCGUCCCCUUCUUGUCGUUGUCCCUGUCACUAUCACUAGACAUUGGAUAUUUAGCGAUAAAAUGAUCGGGCUUACCACAUUUGUAGCACACCCUUUUGGAGCGGGGUUUGUAAUCCUUCCGCCUCCUUUGCUUGAGGAUUUGGCGAAAGCUCUUGAUGAUGAGCGUCAUCUCCUCAUUGUCGAGCUUGGAGGCGUCGAUGGGGAGCCUACUUGAUGUAGAUUCCUCUUUCUUUUCUUCCAUCGCUUUGAAUGCGACGGGUUGCACCUCGGGUGUGGAGGUGGCGCCUUGCUCCAAGUUGACGAUAUGUUUGGAGUCUUUGAUCAUUAACUCAAAGCUCACAAACUUUCCUAUCACUUCCUCGGGAGACAUUAAUUUGUAUCUAGGAUCCCCAUGAAAUAAUUGUACUUGAGUAGGAUUGCGAAAAACAAGGGAUCUUAGAAUAACCUUGACCAUCUCAUGGUCAUCCCAUUUUGUGCUCCCGAGGUUGCGCACUUGAUUCACCAAGGUCUUGAGCCGGUUGUACAUUGCUUGUGGCUCCUCUCCUUGGUUGAGAACGAAUCGAUCGAGCUCCCCCUCGAUCGUCUCCUGCUUGGUGAUCUUGGUCACCUCAUCUCCUUCGUGUGUGGUCUUUAGGACGUCCCAAAUCUCCUUGGCACUCUUUAACCCUUGCACCUUAUUAUACUCCUCUUGACAUAAAGAGGCAAGGAGUAUAGUAGUUGCUUGGGAGUUAAAGUGUUGUAUUUAGGCGACCUCGUCUGAGUCGUAGCCCUCGUCCCCUACGGUAGGUACCUGCGCUCCAAAUUCAACAAUGUCCCAAAUGCUUGCGUGGAGUGAGGUUAGAUGAUACUUCAUUUUAUCACUCCACAUACAAUAAUCCUCACCAUCACUUCGAGUUGUUAGACUCUAAUGAAGCACCGGGCCCCGAUACCAAUUGAAAGUCGCCUAGAGGGGGUGAAUAGGCGGAAUCUGAAAAUUAUAAACUUAAGCACACACUACAAGCCGGGGUUAGCGUUAGAAAUGAAUCCGAGUUCGAAAGAGAGGGAAAACAAAUCAACCAAGAAAUAAAGCGGAUGAACACGGUGAUUUGUUUUACCGAGGUUCGGUUCUAAAGAACCUAGUCCCCGUUGAGGUGGUCACAAAGACCGGGUCUCUUUCAACCCUUUCCCUCUCUCAAACGGUCACUUAGACCGAGUGAGCCUUUUCCUUAAUCUCUCGGGUCACUUAGGCCCCGCAAGGACCACCACACACUUAGGUGUCUCUUGCUUCGAUUACAAAUCACUUGAGAAAAGAAAUGAGAAAGGAAGAAGGCAAUCCAAGAGGCAAGAGCUCAAAGAACACAAAAUCUCUCUCUCACAAGUCACUAAGUGCUUGAGUUGAAUUUGGGACUUGGAGAGGCUUUGAUCUUUUGAAUUGUAUCUAGGAGUGAAUGAUAGAGCCCUUAUAUUGAAUGUGACACUCAAAAUUCUUGGAUGCUUGGAGUGGUGGUGGUUGGGGUAUUUAUAGCCCUCAACCACCAAAAAACCGUUGGGGCAGGCCGCUGUCGAUGGGCGCACCGGACAGUCCGGUGCGCCACCAGACACUAUCCGGUGUGCCAGCCACGUCACCCAACCGUUAGGGUUCUAGAGCAGUUGACCGUUGGAGGCUUUGUCCUCUAGUGGCAUCGGACAGUCCGGUGCCGCACCGGACAGGCAUUGUUCAGUGUCCGGUGCGCCUCUGACCUCUGUUCUGACUUCUGCCACGCACUGUAACGUUGUCAGGGGCACUGUUGCAGUCGACCGUUGCGCUGGUGAUGGCGUCCAAGCAAUAGCGAGAUGGGCACGCAGACGAUCAGCUUCUAUUUUAUUGCUGCGGAGAGGCGGUUGGGACGUCAGUAGGCACCGGCGGAGCUGCGGUCAAUGGCGGCGAUUCUGUUACACCCCAGCGUAUGGAUCGGAGAGGCCGGUAAUGACAUGUGGGCCCCGGCUGACAGUCGCGACCCGGAUCCGCGCCCAACGGUGUAUAAGUGAAAGGGAAAUGUGCCCUUGGGCCAUUUCUAAGUAUUUUGGUGAUUAAGUGUCCAACACAAAUGAUUAUGUGUUAAUCUAUGCCAAAUGGUAGACAAAGUGCAAUUUAAUACAAAGGUAUGAUUCUAGACUUAGUACAUUGGUUUUUGUGUACUAACAUAUUUGUCUAAGUGCUAGAAUCAGAGAAAAAGACAAAUGAAAAAGACUUGGCUCGAGCAGCCAAGACUCUGCUCAGUCCGGGUGCACCGGACAGUGUCCGGCGAGGCAUGCUGACGCUGGUCAACUGGCCGCUCUCGAGAACUCAACGGCGGUGUACCAGAGCCGUUCUCUUCAAGAAAGGGACUAAUCGCCCGAAGAGAUGGAUCCUAAGGGAAAGGGGAUGGUGGUCAACGACAAUGAGAAGGAGUCCAUCUUCAACGAGCCAAGGGACGACAAAGUCAAUGACUCCGGCUCGAGUCAAAAGAAGAAAGACGGAAAGAAGAAGAGGUGCAUCAAGAAGGUUGUCUACUACGACAGCGACGAACCUUCCUCUUCUCAAAAGGACGACGAAUACGAAGAGAAAAAGAAAACGGUUAACUCGAACUUUUCUUUUGAUUAUUCUCGUAUUCCGCAUAAUUCAAAUGCUCAUUUGCUUUCCAUUCCACUUGGUAAACCCCCACACUUUGAUGGAGAGGACUACGGAUUUUGGAGUCACAAAAUGCGUAGCCACUUGUUUUCUCUUCAUCCAAGUAUAUGGGAGAUAGUAGAAAAUGGGAUGCAAUUUGAUAGUUCAGAUAACUCCAUGUUUAUUAAUGAACAGAUCCAUAAAAAUGCACAAGCUACUACUAUUCUUUUAGCAUCCUUGUGCAGGGAAGAAUAUAAUAAGGUGAGCGGAUUGGAUAACGCCAAGCAGAUCUAGGACACCCUCAAGAUCUCGCAUGAGGGGAACGACGUCACCAUGCUCACCAAGAUGGAGUUAGUGAUAGUCGCCUAGAGGGGGGGGUGAAUAGGGCGAAACUGAAGUUUACAAAUAUAAACACAACUACAAGCCGGGUUAGCGUUAGAAAUAUAAACGAGUCCGCGAGAGAGGGUGCAAAACAAAUCGUAAGCAAAUAAAUAGUGUGACACACGGAUUUGUUUUACCGAGGUUCGGUUCUCGCAAACCUACUCCCCGUUGAGGAGGCCACAAAGGCCGGGUCUCUUUCAACCCUUCCCUCUCUCAAACGGUCCCUCGGACCGAGUGAGCUUCUCUUCUCAAAUCAAAGCUGGGAACAAAACUUCCCCGCAAGGGCCACCACACAAUUGGUGCCUCUUGCCUUGAUUACAAUGGAGUUUUGAUCACAAGAACAAGUGAGAAAGAAAAGAAGCAAUCCAAGCGCAAGAGCUCAAAUGAACACGGCAAAUCACUCUCACUAGUCACUAGGGUUUUGUGUGGAAUUGGAGAGGAUUUGAUCUUUUUGAAUGUGUCUAGAAUUGAAUGCCUAGCUCUUGUAAGUGGUUGAGAAGUGGGAAAACUUGGAUGCAAUGAAUGGUGGGGUGGUUGGGGUAUUUAUAGCCCCAACCACCAAAAGUGGCCGUUGGGAGGCUGUCUGCUCGAUGGCGCACCGGACAGUCCGGUGCACACCAGACAGUCCGGUGCCCCCUGCCACGUCAUCACUGCCGUUGGAUUCUGACCGUUGGAGCUUCUGACUUGUGGGCCCGCCUGGGUGUCCGGUGCACACCGGACAGGUACUGUUUCUUGUCCGGUGUGCCAGUAUGGGCACUCCUGCCAUCUGCGCGCGCAGAGCGCGCAUUUAAUGCGCGGCAGAGAGCCGUUGGCGCGGAGAUAGCCGUUGCUCCGGAGUCGCACCGGACAGUCCGGUGCACACCGGACAGUCCGGUGAAUUAUAGCGGACUAGCCGUUGGAGUUUCCCAAAGCUGGCGAGUUCCUGAGGCCGACCACCCUUGGCGCACCGGACACUGUCCGGUGUACACCGGACAGUCCGGUGAAUUAUAGCGCGAGUGCCUCUGGAAAUUCCCGAAGGUAGCGAGUUGGAGUCUGAGUCCCCCUGGUGCACCGGACAUGUCCGGUGGCGCACCGGACAGUCCGGUGCGCCAGACCAGGGGUGCCUUCGGUUGCCCCUUUGCUCCUUUGUUGAAUCCAAAACUUGGUCUUUUUAUUGGCUGAGUGUAAACCUUUUACACCUGUAUACUCUAUACACUUGGGCAAACUAGUUAGUCCAAAGAUUUGUGUUGGGCAAUUCAACCACCAAAAUUAUAUAGGAACUAGGUGUAAGCCUAAUUCCCUUUCAAUCUCCCCCUUUUUGGUGAUUGAUGCCAACACAAACCAAAGCAAAUAUAGAAGUGCAUAAUUGAACUAGUUUGCAUAAUAUGAGUGUAAAGGUUGCUUGGAAUUGAGCCAAUAUAAAUACUUAUAAGAUAUGCAUGGAUUGUUUCUUCAUUUUUAACAUUUUGGACCACGCUUGCACCACAUGUUUUGUUUUUGCAAAUUCUUUUGUAAGUCUAUUUCAAAAUUCUUUUGCAAAUAGUCAAAGGUAAAUGAAUAAGAGUUUGCAAAGCAUCUUCAAGAUUUGAAAUUUUCUCCCCCUGUUUCAAAUGCUUUUCCUUUGACUAAACAAAACUCCUCCUGAAGGAGAUCCACCUCUUAGAGUUCAAGAGGGUUUUGAUAUAUUUUGAAAUACUACUUUCUCCCCCUUCUUGAACAUAAUAGGAUACUAUUUGAUAAAUACUCUUGGAAAACACUAAGUUUUUUUGAAAUUGGUGGUGGUGCGGUCCUUUUGCUUUGGGCUCAUACUCUCUCCCCUUUGGCAUGAAUCGCCAAAAACGGAAUCAUUAGAGCCCUCGAAGUGCUAUCUUCCUCUUUGGUCAUAAAUAAAUGGGUUAAGAUUAUACCAAAGGAGAAGUCCUUUUCUUUGAUGCUCAUUUCUCCCCAAAGAAUAGAGAGUUGCUUGGAGUGAUGGCGAAGUAUGAGUUACGGAGUGGAAGCCUUUGUCUUCGCCGAAGACUCCAAUUCCCUUUCAAUGUACCUAUGACUUGGUUUAAAAUAGACUUGAAAACACAUUAGUCAUAGCAUAUGAAAGAGACAUGAUCAAAGGUAUAUUUAUGAGCUAUGUGUGCAAGCUAGCAAAAGAAAUUUCUAGAAUCAAGAAUAUUGAGCUCAUGCCUAAGUCUGGUAAAAGAUUGUUCAUCAAGUGGCUUGGUAAAGAUAUCGGCUAAUUGAUCUUUAGUAUUAAUGUAAGAAAUCUCGAUAUCUCCCUUUUGUUGGUGAUCCCUAAGAAAAUGAUACCGAAUGGCUAUGUGCUUAGUGCGGCUGUGCUCGACGGGAUUGUCGGCCAUUUUGAUUGCACUCUCAUUAUCACAUAGCAAAGGGACUUUGGUUAAUUUGUAACCGUAGUCCCGCAGGGUUUGCCUCAUCCAAAGCAAUUGCGCGCAACAAUGUCCUGCGGCAAUGUACUCGGCUUCGGCGGUGGAAAGAGCGACCGAAUUUUGCUUCUUUGAAGCCCAAGACACCAAGGAUCUUCCCAAGAACUGGCAAGUCCCCGAUGUGCUCUUCCUAUUAAUCUUACACCCCGCCCAGUCGGCAUCCGAAUAACCAAUUAAAUCAAAUGUGGAUCCCCGAGGGUACCAAAGCCCAAACUUAGGUGUAUAAGCCAAAUAUCUCAAGAUUCGUUUUACGGCCGUAAGGUGGGAUUCCUUAGGGUCGGAUUGGAAUCUUGCACACAUGCAAACGGAAAGCAUAAUGUCCGGUCGAGAUGCACAUAAAUAAAGCAAUGAACCAAUCAUCGACCGGUAUACCUUUUGAUCCACGGACUUACCUCCCGUGUCGAGGUCGAGAUGCCCAUUGGUUCCCAUGGGUGUCUUGAUGGGCUUGGCAUCCUUCAUUCCAAACUUGCUUAGGAUGUCUUGAGUGUACUUCGUUUGGCUAAUGAAGGUGCCCUCUUGGAGUUGCUUUACUUGGAAUCCUAAGAAAUACUUCAACUCCCCCAUCAUAGACAUCUCGAAUUUCUGUGUCAUAAUCCUACUAAACUCUUCACAUGUAGACUCGUUAGUAGACCCAAAUAUAAUAUCAUCAACAUAAAUUUGGCAUACAAACAAGUCAUUUUCAAGAGUUUUAGUAAAGAGUGUAGGAUCGGCCUUGCCGACUUUGAAGCCAUUAGCAAUAAGGAAAUCUCUAAGGCAUUCAUACCAUGCUCUUGGGGCUUGCUUGAGCCCAUAAAGCGCCUUAGAGAGCCUAUAGACAUGGUUAGGGUACUCACUAUCUUCAAAGCCGGGAGGUUGCUCAACAUAGACCUCUUCCUUGAUUGGUCCAUUGAGGAAGGCACUUUUCACGUCCAUUUGAUAAAGCUUAAAGCCAUGGUAAGUAGCAUAGGCUAAUAAUAUGUGAAUUGACUCAAGCCUAGCUACGGGUGCAUAGGUUUCACCGAAAUCCAAACCUUCGACUUGGGAGUAUCCCUUGGCCACAAGUCGUGCUUUGUUCCUUGUCACCACACCAUGCUCAUCUUGCUUGUUGCGGAAGACCCAUUUGGUUCCUACAACAUUUUGGUUAGGACGUGGAACCAAAUGCCAUACCUCAUUUCUAGUGAAGUUGUUGAGCUCCUCUUGCAUCGCCACCACCCAAUCCGAAUCUUGGAGAGCUUCCUCUAUCCUGUGUGGCUCAAUAGAGGAAACAAAAGAGUAAUGUUCACAAAAAUGAGCAACCCGAGAUCUAGUAGUUACCCCCUUAUGAAUGUCGCCGAGGAUGGUGUCGACGGGGUGAUCUCGUUGGAUUGCUUGGUGGACUCUUGGGUGUGGCGGUCUUUGCUCUUCAUCCUCCUUGUCUUGAUCAUUUGCAUCUCCCCCUUGAUCAUUGCCGUCACCUUGAGGUGGCUCAUUUGCUUGAUCUUGUACUUCAUCAACUUGAGCUUCAUUCUCAUUUUGAGUUGGUGGAGAUGCUGGCGUGGAGGAGGAUGGUUGAUCUUGUGCAUGUGGAGGCUCUUCGGAUUCCUUAGGACACACAUCCCCAAUGGACAUGUUCCUUAGUGCUAUGCAUGGAGCCUGUUCUUCACCUGUCUCAUCAAGAUCAACUUGCUCUACUUGAGAGCCGUUAGUCUCAUCAAACACAACGUCACAAGAAACUUCAACAAGUCCUGAGGACUUGUUAAAGACUCUAUAUGCCCUUGUGUUUGAGUCAUAUCCUAGUAAAAAGCCUUCUACAGUUUUAGGUGCAAACUUAGAUUUUCUACCUCUCUUAACAAGAAUAAAGCAUUUGCUACCAAAAACUCUAAAAUAUGAAACAUUUGGCUUUUUACCGGUUAGGAGUUCAUAGGAUGUCUUCUUGAGGAUUCGGUGAAGAUAUAACCGGUUGAUGGCGUAGCAAGCGGUGUUGACCGCCUCGGCCCAAAACCGGUCCGGUGUCUUGUACUCAUCAAGCAUGGUUCUUGCCAUGUCCAAUAGAGUUCGAUUCUUCCUCUCCACUACACCAUUUUGUUGUGGAGUGUAGGGAGAAGAGAACUCAUGCUUGAUGCCCUCCUCCUCAAGAAAACCUUCAAUUUGAGAGUUCUUGAACUCCGUCCCGUUGUCGCUUCUUAUUUUCUUGAUCCUUAAGCCGAACUCAUUUUGAGCCCGUCUCAAGAAUCCCUUUAAGGUCUCUUGGGUUUGAGAUUUUUCCUGUAAAAAGAAUACCCAAGUGAAGCGAGAAUAAUCAUCCACUAUUACAAGACAAUACUUACUCCCGCCGAUGCUUAUGUAAGCAAUCGGGCCGAAUAGAUCCAUGUGGAGUAGCUCAAGCGGCCUGUCGGUCGUCAUGAUGUUCUUGUGUGGAUGAUGGGUUCCAACUUGCUUUCCCGCCUGGCAUGCGCUACAAACCCUGUCUUUCUCAAAAUGAACAUUUGUUAAUCCUAAAAUGUGUUCUCCCUUUAGAAGCUUGUGAAGAUUCUUCAUCCCAACAUGGGCUAGUCGGCAGUGCCACAGCCAACCCAUGUUAGUCUUAGCAAUUAAGCAAGUGUCGAGUUCAGCUCUAUCAAAAUCUACCAAGUAUAGCUGACCCUCUAACACUCCCUUAAAUGCUAUUGAAUCAUCACUUCUUCUAAAGACAGUGACACCUACAUCAGUGAAUAGACAGUUGUAGCCCCUUUGACAUAAUUGGGAUACGGAAAGCAAAUUGUAAUCUAAAGAAUCUACAAGAAAAACAUUGGAAAUAGUAUGGUCAGGUGAUAUAGCAAUUUUACCCAAUCCUUUGACCAAACCUUGAUUUCCAUCCCCGAAUGUGAUAGCUCGUUGGGGAUCUUGAUUUUUCUCAUAUGAGGAGAACAUCCUUUUCUCCCCGGUCAUGUGGUUUGUGCAUCCGCUGUCGAGUAUCCAACUUGAGCCCCCGGAUGCAUAAGCCUACAAAACAAGUUUAGUUCUUGACUUUAGGUACCCAAACUGUUUUGGGUCCUUUGGCAUUAGACACAAGAACUUUGGGUACCCAAACACAAGUCUUUGACCCCUUGUGUUUGCCCCCAACAAACUUGGCAACGACCUUGCCGGAUUUGUUAGUCAAAACAUAGGAUGCAUCAAAAGUUUUAAAUGAAAUAGCAUGAUCAUUUGAUGCAUUAGGAGUUUUCUUUCUAGGCAAUUUAGCAUGGGUUGUUUGCCUAGAGCUAGAUGUCUCACCCUUAUACAUAAAAGCAUGAUUAGGGCCAGAGUGAGACUUCCUAGAAUGAAUUUUCCUAAUUUUGCUCUCGGGAUAACCGGCAGGGUAUAAAAUGUAACCCUCGUUAUCCUGAGGCAUGGGAGCCUUGCCCUUAACAAAGUUAGAUAAGUUCUUUGGAGGGGCAUUAAGUUUGACAUUGUCUCCCCUUUGGAAGCCAAUGCCAUCCUUGAUGCCAGGGCGUCUCCCAUUAUAAAGCAUGCUACGAGCAAAUUUAAAUUUCUCAUUUUCUAAGUUGUGCUCGGCAAUUUUAGCAUCUAGUUUUGCUAUAUGAUCAUUUUGUUGUUUAAUUAAAGCCAUAUGAUCAUGAAUAGCAUCAAUAUCAACAUUUCUACAUCUAGUACAAAUAGUGACAUGCUCAAUGGUAGAUGUUGAUGGUUUGCAAGAAUUAAGUUCAACAAUCUUAGCACGAAGUAUAUCAUUCUUAUCUCUAAGAUCGGCAAUUGUAACUUUGCAAACAUCAAAAUCUUUAGCCUUAGCAAUCAAAUUUUCAUUCUCUAAUCUAAGGCUAGCAAGAGAAAUGUUUAAUUCUUCAAUCCUAGCAAGCAAAUCAUCAUUAUUAUCUCUAGAAUUGGGAAUUAAAACAUUACAAACAUGAGAAUCAACCUUAGCAUUUAAACUAGCAUUUUCAUUUCUAAGGUUGUCAAUCAUCUCACGGCAAGUGCUUAGCUCACUAGACAAUUUUUCACAUUUUUCAACUUGUAGAGCGUAAGCAUUUUUAACCUUAACAUGUUUCUUAUUUUCCUUGAUUAGGAAGUCCUCUUGGGAGUCCAAGAGAUCAUCCUUUUCAUGGAUGGCACUAAUUAGCUCAUUUAAUUUUUCUUUUUGUUCCAUGUUGAGAUUGGCAAAAAGGAUACGCAAAUUAUCUUCCUCACCACUAGCAUUAUCAUCACUAGACGAUUCAUAUUUAGUGGAGGAGUUGGAUUUAACCUUCUUCCUUUUGCCGUCCUUUGCCAUGAGGCACUUGUGGCCGACGUUGGGGAAGAGGAGUCCCUUGGUGACGGCGAUGUUGGCGGCGUCCUCGUCGUCGGAGGAGUCGCUAGAGCUUUCGUCGGAGUCCCACUCCCGACAAACAUGGGCAUCGCCGCCCUUCUUCUUGUAGUACCUCUUCUUCUCCUUUCUUCUCCCCUUCUUGUCGUCGCCCCUGUCACUAUCACUUGAUAAUGGACAUUUAGCAAUAAAGUGACCGGGCUUACCACAUUUGUAGCAAACCUUCUUGGAGCGGGACUUGUAGUCUUUCCCUCUCCUUUGCUUGAGGAUUUGGCGGAAGCUCUUGAUGACGAGUGCCAUUUCCUCAUUGUCGAGCUUGGAGGCGUCUAUUGGUUGUCGACUUGGUGUAGCCUCCUCCUUCCUCUCCUCCGUUGCUUUGAAUGCAACGGGUUGAGCUUCGGAUGUGGUGGCAUCAUCAAGCUCGUUGAUCUUCCUUGAGCCUUCGAUCAUGCACUCAAAACUCACAAAAUUCCCGAUAACUUCCUCGGGGGUCAUUUUAGUAUAUCUAGGAUUACCACGGAUUAAUUGAACUUGAGUAGGGUUAAGGAAAAUAAGAGAUCUUAGAAUAACCUUAACCAUCUCGUGGUCAUCCCACUUUACGCUCCCGAGGUUACGCACUUGAUUCACCAAGGUCUUGAGCCGGUUGUACAUGUGUUGUGGCUCCUCCCCUUUGCGAAGCCGGAACCGACCGAGCUCCCCCUCGAUCGUUUCCCGCUUGGUGAUCUUGGUGAGCUCGUCUCCCUCGUGCGCGGUUUUGAGCACAUCCCAAAUCUCCUUAGCGCUCUUCAACCCUUGUACUUUGUUAUACUCCUCUCUACUUAGAGAGGCGAGGAGUAUUGUUGUUGCUUGAGAGUUGAAGUGCUCGAUUUGGGCCACCUCAUCCUCAUCAUAGUUCUCAUCCCCUACCGACGGUACCUGUGCACCAAACUCAACAACAUCCCAUAUACUUUUGUGGAGCGAGGUUAGAUGAAAUCGCAUUAAAUCGCUCCACCUAGCGUAAUCUUCACCAUCAAAAGUUGGUGGUUUGCCUAACGGGACGGAAAGUAAAGGUGUAUGUUUGGAAAUGCGAGGGUAGUGUAGGGGGAUCUUACUAUACUUCUUGCGCUCUUGGCGCUUAGAAGUGACGGAGGGCGCAUCGGAGUCGGAGGUCGAUGUUGAUGAAGUGUCGGUCUCGUAGUAGACCACUUUCCUCAUCCUCUUGUGCUUGUCGCCUUUCCGAUGCGGCUUGUGGGAAGAAGAUUUCUCCUUCUUCUCUUUGUGGUGAGAAGAGGAAGACUUUUUCUCCUUCCGUUUGGAGGAGUCCUUCUUCUUCUCCUUCCUCUUGGUGCGGGACUCUUCCGAUGAAGUGCUCCCGUGGCUUGUAGUGGGCUUUUCGCUGGUCUCCAUCUCCUUCUUGGCGUGAUCUCCCGACAUCACUUCGAGCGGUUAGGCUCUAAUGAAGCACCGGGCUUUGAUACCAAUUGAUAGUCGCCUAGAGGGGGGGUGAAUAGGGCGAAACUGAAGUUUACAAAUAUAAACACAACUACAAGCCGGGUUAGCGUUAGAAAUAUAAACGAGUCCGCGAGAGAGGGUGCAAAACAAAUCGUAAGCAAAUAAAUAGUGUGACACACGGAUUUGUUUUACCGAGGUUCGGUUCUCGCAAACCUACUCCCCGUUGAGGAGGCCACAAAGGCCGGGUCUCUUUCAACCCUUCCCUCUCUCAAACGGUCUCUCGGACCGAGUGAGCUUCUCUUCUCAAAUCAAAGCUAGGAACAAAACUUCCCCGCAAGGGCCACCACACAAUUGGUGCCUCUUGCCUUGAUUACAAUGGAGUUUUGAUCACAAGAACAAGUGAGAAAGAAAAGAAGCAAUCCAAGCGCAAGAGCUCAAAUGAACACGGCAAAUCACUCUCACUAGUCACUAGGGUUUUGUGUGGAAUUGGAGAGGAUUUGAUCUUUUUGAAUGUGUCUAGAAUUGAAUGCCUAGCUCUUGUAAGUGGUUGAGAAGUGGGAAAACUUGGAUGCAAUGAAUGGUGGGGUGGUUGGGGUAUUUAUAGCCCCAACCACCAAAAGUGGCCGUUGGGAGGCUGUCUGCUCGAUGGCGCACCGGACAGUCCGGUGCACACCAGACAGUCUGGUGCCCCCUGCCACGUCAUCACUGUCGUUGGAUUCUGACCGUUGGAGCUUCUGACUUGUGGGCCCGCCUGGGUGUCCGGUGCACACCAGACAGGUACUGUUUCUUGUCCGGUGUGCCAGUAUGGGCACUCCUGCCAUCUGCGCGCGCAGAGCGCGCAUUUAAUGCGCGGCAGAGAACCGUUGGCGUGGAGAUAGCCGUUGCUCCGGAGUCGCACCGGACAGUCCGGUGCACACCGGACAGUCCGGUGAAUUAUAGCGGACUAGCCGUUGGAGUUUCCCGAAGCUGGCGAGUUCCUGAGGCCGACCACCCUUGGCGCACCGGACACUGUCCGGUGUACACCGGACAGUCCGGUGAAUUAUAGCGCGAGUGCCUCUGGAAAUUCCCGAAGGUAGCGAGUUGGAGUCUGAGUCCCCCUGGUGCACCGGACAUGUCCGGUGGCGCACCGGACAGUCCGGUGCGCCAGACCAGGGGUGCCUUCGGUUGCCCCUUUGCUCCUUUGUUGAAUCCAAAACUUGGUCUUUUUAUUGGCUGAGUGUAAACCUUUUACACCUGUAUACUCUAUACACUUGGGCAAACUAGUUAGUCCAAAGAUUUGUGUUGGGCAAUUCAACCACCAAAAUUAUAUAGGAACUAGGUGUAAGCCUAAUUCCCUUUCAAUCUCCCCCUUUUUGGUGAUUGAUGCCAACACAAACCAAAGCAAAUAUAGAAGUGCAUAAUUGAACUAGUUUGCAUAAUAUGAGUGUAAAGGUUGCUUGGAAUUGAGCCAAUAUAAAUACUUAUAAGAUAUGCAUGGAUUGUUUCUUCAUUUUUAACAUUUUGGACCACGCUUGCACCACAUGUUUUGUUUUUGCAAAUUCUUUUGUAAGUCUAUUUCAAAAUUCUUUUGCAAAUAGUCAAAGGUAAAUGAAUAAGAGUUUGCAAAGCAUCUUCAAGAUUUGAAAUUUUCUCCCCCUGUUUCAAAUGUUUUUCCUUUGACUAAACAAAACUCCUCCUGAAGGAGAUCCACCUCUUAGAGUUCAAGAGGGUUUUGAUAUAUUUUGAAAUACUACUUUCUCCCCCUUCUUGAACAUAAUAGGAUACUAUUUGAUAAAUACUCUUGGAAAACACUAAGUUUUUUUGAAAUUGGUGGUGGUGCGGUCCUUUUGCUUUGGGCUCAUACUCUCUCCCCUUUGGCAUGAAUCGCCAAAAACGGAAUCAUUAGAGCCCUCGAAGUGCUAUCUUCCUCUUUGGUCAUAAAUAAAUGGGUUAAGAUUAUACCAAAGGAGAAGUCCUUUUCUUUGAUGCUCAUUUCUCCCCAAAGAAUAGAGAGUUGCUUGGAGUGAUGGCGAAGUAUGAGUUACGGAGUGGAAGCCUUUGUCUUCGCCGAAGACUCCAAUUCCCUUUCAAUGUACCUAUGACUUGGUUUAAAAUAGACUUGAAAACACAUUAGUCAUAGCAUAUGAAAGAGACAUGAUCAAAGGUACAUUUAUGAGCUAUGUGUGCAAGCUAGCAAAAGAAAUUUCUAGAAUCAAGAAUAUUGAGCUCAUGCCUAAGUCUGGUAAAAGAUUGUUCAUCAAGUGGCUUGGUAAAGAUAUCGGCUAAUUGAUCUUUAGUAUUAAUGUAAGAAAUCUCGAUAUCUCCCUUUUGUUGGUGAUCCCUAAGAAAAUGAUACCGAAUGGCUAUGUGCUUAGUGCAGCUGUGCUCGACGGGAUUGUCGGCCAUUUUGAUUGCACUCUCAUUAUCACAUAGCAAAGGGACUUUGGUUAAUUUGUAACCGUAGUCCCGCAGGGUUUGCCUCAUCCAAAGCAAUUGUGCGCAACAAUGUCCUGCGGCAAUGUACUCGGCUUCGGCGGUGGAAAGAGCGACCGAAUUUUGCUUCUUUGAAGCCCAAGACACCAAGGAUCUUCCCAAGAACUGGCAAGUCCCCGAUGUGCUCUUCCUAUUAAUCUUACACCCCGCCCAGUCGGCAUCCGAAUAACCAAUUAAAUCAAAUGUGGAUCCCCGAGGGUACCAAAGCCCAAACUUAGGUGUAUAAGCCAAAUAUCUCAAGAUUCGUUUUACGGCCGUAAGGUGGGAUUCCUUAGGGUCGGAUUGGAAUCUUGCACACAUGCAAACGGAAAGCAUAAUGUCUGGUCGAGAUGCACAUAAAUAAAGCAAUGAACCAAUCAUCGACCGGUAUACCUUUUGAUCCACGGACUUACCUCCCGUGUCGAGGUCGAGAUGCCCAUUGGUUCCCAUGGGUGUCUUGAUGGGCUUGGCAUCCUUCAUUCCAAACUUGCUUAGAAUGUCUUGAGUGUACUUCGUUUGGCUAAUGAAGGUGCCCUCUUGGAGUUGCUUUACUUGGAAUCCUAAGAAAUACUUCAACUCCCCCAUCAUAGACAUCUCGAAUUUCUGUGUCAUAAUCCUACUAAACUCUUCACAUGUAGACUCGUUAGUAGACCCAAAUAUAAUAUCAUCAACAUAAAUUUGGCAUACAAACAAGUCAUUUUCAAGAGUUUUAGUAAAGAGUGUAGGAUCGGCCUUGCCGACUUUGAAGCCAUUAGCAAUAAGGAAAUCUCUAAGGCAUUCAUACCAUGCUCUUGGGGCUUGCUUGAGCCCAUAAAGCGCCUUAGAGAGCCUAUAGACAUGGUUAGGGUACUCACUAUCUUCAAAGCCGGGAGGUUGCUCAACAUAGACCUCUUCCUUGAUUGGUCCAUUGAGGAAGGCACUUUUCACGUCCAUUUGAUAAAGCUUAAAGCCAUGGUAAGUAGCAUAGGCUAAUAAUAUGUGAAUUGACUCAAGCCUAGCUACGGGUGCAUAGGUUUCACCGAAAUCCAAACCUUCGACUUGGGAGUAUCCCUUGGCCACAAGUCGUGCUUUGUUCCUUGUCACCACACCAUGCUCAUCUUGCUUGUUGCGGAAGACCCAUUUGGUUCCUACAACAUUUUGGUUAGGACGUGGAACCAAAUGCCAUACCUCAUUUCUAGUGAAGUUGUUGAGCUCCUCUUGCAUCGCCACCACCCAAUCCGAAUCUUGGAGAGCUUCCUCUAUCCUGUGUGGCUCAAUAGAGGAAACAAAAGAGUAAUGUUCACAAAAAUGAGCAACCCGAGAUCUAGUAGUUACCCCCUUAUGAAUGUCGCCGAGGAUGGUGUCGACGGGGUGAUCUCGUUGGAUUGCUUGGUGGACUCUUGGGUGUGGCGGUCUUUGCUCUUCAUCCUCCUUGUCUUGAUCAUUUGCAUCUCCCCCUUGAUCAUUGCCGUCACCUUGAGGUGGCUCAUUUGCUUGAUCUUGUACUUCAUCAACUUGAGCUUCAUUCUCAUUUUGAGUUGGUGGAGAUGCUGGCGUGGAGGAGGAUGGUUGAUCUUGUGCAUGUGGAGGCUCUUCGGAUUCCUUAGGACACACAUCCCCAAUGGACAUGUUCCUUAGUGCUAUGCAUGGAGCCUGUUCUUCACCUGUCUCAUCAAGAUCAACUUGCUCUACUUGAGAGCCGUUAGUCUCAUCAAACACAACGUCACAAGAAACUUCAACAAGUCCUGAGGACUUGUUAAAGACUCUAUAUGCCCUUGUGUUUGAGUCAUAUCCUAGUAAAAAGCCUUCUACAGUUUUAGGUGCAAACUUAGAUUUUCUACCUCUCUUAACAAGAAUAAAGCAUUUGCUACCAAAAACUCUAAAAUAUGAAACAUUUGGCUUUUUACCGGUUAGGAGUUCAUAGGAUGUCUUCUUGAGGAUUCGGUGAAGAUAUAACCGGUUGAUGGCGUAGCAAGCGGUGUUGACCGCCUCGGCCCAAAACCGGUCCGGUGUCUUGUACUCAUCAAGCAUGGUUCUUGCCAUGUCCAAUAGAGUUCGAUUCUUCCUCUCCACUACACCAUUUUGUUGUGGAGUGUAGGGAGAAGAGAACUCAUGCUUGAUGCCCUCCUCCUCAAGAAAACCUUCAAUUUGAGAGUUCUUGAACUCCGUCCCGUUGUCGCUUCUUAUUUUCUUGAUCCUUAAGCCGAACUCAUUUUGAGCCCGUCUCAAGAAUCCCUUUAAGGUCUCUUGGGUUUGAGAUUUUUCCUGUAAAAAGAAUACCCAAGUGAAGCGAGAAUAAUCAUCCACUAUUACAAGACAAUACUUACUCCCGCCGAUGCUUAUGUAAGCAAUCGGGCCGAAUAGAUCCAUGUGGAGUAGCUCAAGCGGCCUGUCGGUCGUCAUGAUGUUCUUGUGUGGAUGAUGGGUUCCAACUUGCUUUCCCGCCUGGCAUGCGCUACAAACCCUGUCUUUCUCAAAAUGAACAUUUGUUAAUCCUAAAAUGUGUUCUCCCUUUAGAAGCUUGUGAAGAUUCUUCAUCCCAACAUGGGCUAGUCGGCGGUGCCACAGCCAACCCAUGUUAGUCUUAGCAAUUAAGCAAGUGUCGAGUUCAGCUCUAUCAAAAUCUACCAAGUAUAGCUGACCCUCUAACACUCCCUUAAAUGCUAUUGAAUCAUCACUUCUUCUAAAGACAGUGACACCUACAUCAGUGAAUAGACAGUUGUAGCCCCUUUGACAUAAUUGGGAUACGGAAAGCAAAUUGUAAUCUAAAGAAUCUACAAGAAAAACAUUGGAAAUAGUAUGGUCAGGUGAUAUAGCAAUUUUACCCAAUCCUUUGACCAAACCUUGAUUUCCAUCCCCGAAUGUGAUAGCUCGUUGGGGAUCUUGAUUUUUCUCAUAUGAGGAGAACAUCCUUUUCUCCCCGGUCAUGUGGUUUGUGCAUCCGCUGUCGAGUAUCCAACUUGAGCCCCCGGAUGCAUAAGCCUACAAAACAAGUUUAGUUCUUGACUUUAGGUACCCAAACUGUUUUGGGUCCUUUGGCAUUAGACACAAGAACUUUGGGUACCCAAACACAAGUCUUUGACCCCUUGUGUUUGCCCCCAACAAACUUGGCAACGACCUUGCCGGAUUUGUUAGUCAAAACAUAGGAUGCAUCAAAAGUUUUAAAUGAAAUAGCAUGAUCAUUUGAUGCAUUAGGAGUUUUCUUUCUAGGCAAUUUAGCAUGGGUUGUUUGCCUAGAGCUAGAUGUCUCACCCUUAUACAUAAAAGCAUGAUUAGGGCCAGAGUGAGACUUCCUAGAAUGAAUUUUCCUAAUUUUGCUCUCGGGAUAACCGGCAGGGUAUAAAAUGUAACCCUCGUUAUCCUGAGGCAUGGGAGCCUUGCCCUUAACAAAGUUAGAUAAGUUCUUUGGAGGGGCAUUAAGUUUGACAUUGUCUCCCCUUUGGAAGCCAAUGCCAUCCUUGAUGCCAGGGCGUCUCCCAUUAUAAAGCAUGCUACGAGCAAAUUUAAAUUUCUCAUUUUCUAAGUUGUGCUCGGCAAUUUUAGCAUCUAGUUUUGCUAUAUGAUCAUUUUGUUGUUUAAUUAAAGCCAUAUGAUCAUGAAUAGCAUCAAUAUCAACAUUUCUACAUCUAGUACAAAUAGUGACAUGCUCAAUGGUAGAUGUUGAUGGUUUGCAAGAAUUAAGUUCAACAAUCUUAGCACGAAGUAUAUCAUUCUUAUCUCUAAGAUCGGCAAUUGUAACUUUGCAAACAUCAAAAUCUUUAGCCUUAGCAAUCAAAUUUUCAUUCUCUAAUCUAAGGCUAGCAAGAGAAAUGUUUAAUUCUUCAAUCCUAGCAAGCAAAUCAUCAUUAUUAUCUCUAGAAUUGGGAAUUAAAACAUUACAAACAUGAGAAUCAACCUUAGCAUUUAAACUAGCAUUUUCAUUUCUAAGGUUGUCAAUCAUCUCACGGCAAGUGCUUAGCUCACUAGACAAUUUUUCACAUUUUUCAACUUGUAGAGCGUAAGCAUUUUUAACCUUAACAUGUUUCUUAUUUUCCUUGAUUAGGAAGUCCUCUUGGGAGUCCAAGAGAUCAUCCUUUUCAUGGAUGGCACUAAUUAGCUCAUUUAAUUUUUCUUUUUGUUCCAUGUUGAGAUUGGCAAAAAGGAUACGCAAAUUAUCUUCCUCACCACUAGCAUUAUCAUCACAAGAACAAGUGAGAAAGAAAAGAAGCAAUCCAAGCGCAAGAGCUCAAAUGAACACGGCAAAUCACUCUCACUAGUCACUAGGGUUUUGUGUGGAAUUGGAGAGGAUUUGAUCUUUUUGAAUGUGUCUAGAAUUGAAUGCCUAGCUCUUGUAAGUGGUUGAGAAGUGGGAAAACUUGGAUGCAAUGAAUGGUGGGGUGGUUGGGGUAUUUAUAGCCCCAACCACCAAAAGUGGCCGUUGGGAGGCUGUCUGCUCGAUGGCGCACCGGACAGUCCGGUGCACACCAGACAGUCUGGUGCCCCCUGCCACGUCAUCACUGUCGUUGGAUUCUGACCGUUGGAGCUUCUGACUUGUGGGCCCGCCUGGGUGUCCGGUGCACACCGGACAGGUACUGUUUCUUGUCCGGUGUGCCAGUAUGGGCACUCCUGCCAUCUGCGCGCGCAGAGCGCGCAUUUAAUGCGCGGCAGAGAGCCGUUGGCGCGGAGAUAGCCGUUGCUCCGGAGUCGCACCGGACAGUCCGGUGCACACCGGACAGUCCGGUGAAUUAUAGCGGACUAGCCGUUGGAGUUUCCCGAAGCUGGCGAGUUCCUGAGGCCGACCACCCUUGGCGCACCGGACACUGUCCGGUGUACACCGGACAGUCCGGUGAAUUAUAGCGCGAGUGCCUCUGGAAAUUCCCGAAGGUAGCGAGUUGGAGUCUGAGUCCCCCUGGUGCACCGGACAUGUCCGGUGGCGCACCGGACAGUCCGGUGCGCCAGACCAGGGGUGCCUUCGGUUGCCCCUUUGCUCCUUUGUUGAAUCCAAAACUUGGUCUUUUUAUUGGCUGAGUGUAAACCUUUUACACCUGUAUACUCUAUACACUUGGGCAAACUAGUUAGUCCAAAGAUUUGUGUUGGGCAAUUCAACCACCAAAAUUAUAUAGGAACUAGGUGUAAGCCUAAUUCCCUUUCAGUUAGUAGAAGGCGAACUUGGAAGGUUCGCAAUGAUCAGGGGAGAGGAGCCAACUCAAACAUACAAUAGGCUCAAGACCCUGGUCAACAAGAUAAGAAGCUAUGGAAGCACGAGAUGGACGGACCACGACGUCAUCUGACUUAUGCUAAGGUCCUUCGCAGUCCUUGAUCCUCAUCUUGUAAACUCUAUUCGUGAGAAUCCUAGGUACAUCAAGAUGACGCUCGAGGAAAUACUCGGAAAGUUUGUAAGCGGGCGAAUGAUGAAGGAGGUGAGAUACGUUGAUGAGGCAUUGAAUGGCCCAAUCUACGAGCCUCAAGCCGUUGCUCUCAAAGCAACAAGUAGCAGGGAGGCGCUACCUAGCAAGGUGGCGCAAGUUGAGGCGGCAGGCUAAAUGAAGAUGAAAUGGCCCUCAUCAUCAAGCGCUUCAAGACGGCACUCAAAGGUCGCAAGGAGCACCCCAACAAGAGCAAAACGAAGGGGAAGUGCUCCUGCUUCAAGUGUGGUAAGGUUGGUCACUUUAUUGCUAACUGUCCUGAUAAUGAUAGUGACCAGGAUCAAGGAAAGAGCGGAAAGUGGGAAAAGAAGAAGACCUACAAAAAGACGAAGGGCGAGGCACACCUUGGAAAGGAGUGGGAUUCGGAUUGUUCCUCGUCCGACUCCGACAACGAAGGGCUCGCCGCCUCAGCCUUCAACAAGUCGGCUCUCUUCCCCAACGAGCACCACACCUGCCUCAUGGCAAAGGAGAAGAAGGUAAGUACUCAAAGUACCACUACGUAUGCCUCUUCAUGUGACGAUGAGUCUAGUGAUGAUGAAGUAGACUACGCUAGCUUAUUCAAAGGUUUGGAUAGAACUAAAAUUGACAAGAUCAAUGAAUUAAUUGAUGCUUUGAAUGAGAAGAAUAGAUUGUUAGAGAAGCAAGAAGAUCUUUUAUAUGAAGAGCAUGAUAAAUUUGUUAGUGCACAAAAUUCUCUUGCUUUAGAAGUUAAAAGGAAUGAAAUGCUUUCUUGUGAAUUAUCUACUUGCCAUGAGACUAUUUCUAGUUUAAAAAGUAUUAAUGAUGAUUUAAAUGCUAAGCUAGAAGUAGCAAGUAAAUCUAGUUCUUGUGUAGAACAUGUAGUGAUUUGCAAUAGGUGUAAGGACUUUAAUGCUGAUGCAUGUGUUGAACACCUUACUUCUAUUACAAAACUAAAUGGUGAAGUGGCUAGUCUUAAUGCCCAACUUAAGACUAGCAAAAAUGAAUUCGAUAAACUAAAAUUUGCAAGGGAUGCCUACUCUGUUGGUAGACACCCCUCAAUUAAGGAUGGACUUGGCUUUAAGAGGGAAGCCAAGAACUUAACAAGUCAUAAGGCUCCCAUCUCCGCCAAGGAGAAAGGGAAGGCACCUAUGGCAAAUAGUGUUCAAAAGAACCAUGCUUUCAUUUAUAGUGAUAGAAAAUUCUCUAGAAAUGUUUAUAGGAAUUAUUCUUAUGAUUCAUAUGCUAUGCCUGCUUCUAGUUCUUCUAUUGUGCAUGAUAUGCCUAGGAAAAAUGUUAUUCUUCACAUGCCUAGGAGAAAUGUUGUUCAUGUAUCUAGGAAAGCAAGUAAUGAACCUUCUACAAUUUAUUAUGCUUGCAAUGCUUCCUUUGCAAUUUGUAGAAAGGAUAAGAAAGUGAUUGCUAGGAAAUUAGGGGCAAAAUGCAAGGGAGAUAAAACUUGCAUUUGGGUCCCUAAGGCUAUUGUCACUAACCUUGUAGGACCAAACAAGAGUUGGGUACCUAAGACCCAAGCCUAAAUUGCCUUGCAGGUUUAUGCAUCCGGGGGCUCAAGCUGGAUUAUCGACAGCGGAUGCACAAACCACAUGACGGGGGAGAAGAAGAUGUUCACCUCCUACGUCAAGAACAAAGAUUCCCAAGAUUCAAUCAUAUUCGGUGAUGGGAACCAAGGCAAGGUUAAAGGUCUAGGAAAGAUUGCUAUUUCAUCCGAGCACUCCAUCUCUAAUGUGUUUUUAGUUGAGUCGCUUGGGUAUAACUUGUUGUCCGUUAGUCAACUUUGUAAUAUGGGUUAUAAUUGCUUAUUCACAAAUGUAGAUGUGUUUGUCUUUAGAAGAAGUGAUGGUUCAUUAGCUUUUAAGGGUGUACUAGACGGCAAACUUUAUUUAGUUGAUUUUGCAAAAGAGGAGGCCGGUCUAGAUGCAUGCUUAAUUGCUAAGACUAGCAUGGGCUGGCUGUGGCAUCGCCGUUUAGCACAUGUGGGGAUGAAGAACCUUCACAAACUUCUAAAGGGAGAACAUGUGUUAGGUCUAACAAAUGUGACUUUCGAAAAAGAUAGACCUUGUGCAGCUUGUCAAGCAGGUAAACAAGUGGGAAAUGCUCAUCACAGCAAGAACGUGAUGACCACAUCAAGACCCCUGGAGCUGCUGCAUAUGGACCUCUUCGGACCCGUCGCCUACCUUAGCAUCGGGGGAAGUAAGUAUGGUUUAGUAAUUGUUGAUGAUUUUUCCCGCUUCACUUGGGUAUUCUUUUUGCAGGAUAAAUCUGAAACCCAAGGGACCCUCAAGCGCUUCCUAAGGAGAGCUCAAAAUGAAUUUGAGCUCAAGGUGAAAAAGAUAAGGAGCGACAACGGGUCGAGUUCAAGAACCUUCAAGUGGAGGAAUACCUUGAGGAGGAAGGAAUCAAACAUGAGUUCUCCGCUCCCUACACACCACAGCAAAACGGUGUGGUAGAAAGGAAGAACAGGACGCUCAUCGACAUGGCGAGGACGAUGCUUGGAGAGUUCAAGACGCCCGAGCGAUUUUGGUGGGAAGCCGUGAACACGGAUUGCCACGCCAUAAACUGGGUCUACCUUCAUCGCCUCCUCAAGAAGACUUCGUACGAACUCCUAACCGGUAACAAACCCAAUGUGUCAUACUUUCGUGUUUUUGGGAGCAAAUGUUACAUUCUAGUGAAGAAAGGUAGAAAUUCUAAGUUUGCUCCCAAAGCUGUAGAAGGGUUUUUGUUAGGUUAUGACUCAAAUACAAAGGCGUAUAGGGUCUUCAACAAAUCAUCGGGUUUGGUUGAAGUCUCUAGCGACGUUGUAUUUGAUGAGACUAAUGGCUCUCCAAGAGAGCAAGUUGUUGAUCCUAAUGAUGUAGAUGAAUAUGAUGUUCCAACAGACGCAAUUCGCACCAUGGCGAUUGGAGAUGUGCGACCACAGGAACAUCAAGAGCAAGAUCAACCUUCUUCCUCAACAAUGGUGCAACCCCCAACUCAAGACGAUGAACAGGUUCAUCAAGAAGAGGCGUGUGAUCAAGGGGGAGCACAAGAUGAUCAUGUUUUGGAGGAAGAAGCACAACAUGCCCCUCCAACUCAAGUUCGAGCGACGAUUCAAAGGAAUCAUCCCGUCGACCAGAUAUUGGGUGAUAUUAGCAAGGGAGUAACUACUCGCUCUAGAUUAGUUAAUUUUUGUGAGCAUUACUCUUUUGUCUCUUCUAUUGAGCCUUUCAGGGUAGAAGAGGCCUUGCUAGAUCCGGACUGGGUGUUGGCCAUGCAGGAGGAGCUCAACAAUUUCAAGAGAAAUGAAGUUUGGACACUGGUGCCACAUCCUAAGCAAAACGUUGUGGGAACCAAGUGGGUGUUCCGCAACAAACAUGACGAGCACAGGGUGGUGACAAGGAACAAGGCACGACUUGUGGCAAAAGGUUAUGCCCAAGUCGCAGGUUUGGACUUUGAGGAGACUUUUGCUCCUGUUGCUAGGCUAGAGUCAAUUCGCAUAUUGUUAGCCUAUGCCGCUCACCAUUCUUUCAGGUUGUUCCAAAUGGAUGUGAAGAGCGCUUUCCUCAACGGGCCAAUCAAGGAGGAGGUGUACGUAGAGCAACCCCCUGGCUUUGAGGAUGAACGGUACCCCGACCAUGUGUGUAAGCUCUCUAAGGCGCUCUAUGGACUUAAGCAAGCCCCAAGAGCAUGGUAUGAAUGCCUUAGAGACUUUUUAAUCGCUAAUGCUUUCAAGGUUGGGAAAGCCGAUCCAACUUUAUUCACUAAGACUUGUGAUGGUGACUUAUUUGUGUGCCAAAUUUAUGUCGAUGACAUAAUAUUUGGUUCUACUAACCAAAAGUCUUGUGAAGAGUUUAGCAGGGUGAUGACUCAAAAGUUUGAAAUGUCAAUGAUGGGUGAGUUGAACUACUUCCUUGGGUUCCAAGUGAAGGAACUCAAGGACGGCACUUUCAUCUCCCAAACGAAGUACACGCAAGACUUGAUCAAGCGGUUUGGGAUGAAGGACGCCAAGCCCACUAAGACUCCAAUGGGAACUGACGGACACGUCGACCUCAACAAAGGAGGUAAGUCCGUUAAUCAAAAAGCAUACCGGUCUAUGAUAGGUUCCUUACUUUACUUAUGUGCUAGUAGACCGGAUAUUAUGCUUAGUGUAUGCAUGUGUGCUAGAUUUCAAUCCGAUCCAAGGGAGUGUCACUUAGUGGCCGUGAAGCGAAUUCUUAGAUAUUUAGUCGCUAUGCCUUACUCCGGGAUCUGGUAUCCAAAGGGGUCUACCUUUGACUUAAUUGGAUAUUCAGACUCCGAUUAUGCUGGAUGUAAGGUUGAUAGGAAGCGUACAUCAGGGACGUGUCAAUUCUUAGGAAGGUCCCUGGUGUCUUGGAGUUCUAAGAAACAAACUUCCGUUGCCCUAUCCACCGCUGAGGCCGAGUACGUUGCAGCAGGACAGUGUUGCGCGCAACUACUUUGGAUGAGGCAAACCCUCAUGGACUUUGGCUACAAUCUGAGCAAAGUCCCACUCAUAUGUGAUAAUGAGAGUGCAAUCCGCAUGGCGGAUAAUCCUGUUGAACACAGCCGCACUAAGCACAUAGACAUCUGGCAUCACUUUUUGAGAGACCACCAGCAAAAGGGAGAUAUCGAAGUGUUUUAUGUUAGCACCGAGAACCAGCUAGCCGAUAUCUUUACCAAGCCUCUAGAUGAGUCAACCUUUUGCAGGCUGCGUAGUGAGCUAAAUGUCUUAGAUUCGCGGAACUUGGAUUGAUAUAUAGCAUACAUGUGUUUUAUGCCUUUGAUCAUGUCCCUUUAUGCAUCUUGUUGUUAUUUAUGGUGUUCAAGUUGUACAAACACUCCCCGGACCUCAAAAGUCCAUGUGUGAGUGAUGCACAUAUUUAGGGGAGAUGUACUACAACUUGACCCUUUGAGACUAAUCGUGUGCUUGAGUUUACUUGCUUUAGUCUCAAAGGUGGAUUGAAAGGAAAAUGUGAACUUGGAUCAUGAAAGACUUCCACUGCACUCCGAUGAGAGGGUAACUUACUCCAAGUUCAUCUCCAUACUCUUAUUGCCUUUUACUCUUAUUCGACGAUUUUGGUGAGGCAAUGGGGUUUGAGGGCCAAGAUUGAUCCCGUUUUGGUGCUUGAUGCCAAAGGGGGAGAAAAUAAGGCCAAAGCAAGAAAUGGAUCAGCUACCACUUGAAAAUUUUGAAAAAGUAGAGUUAGAGUUUUUGUUUUGUCAAGAUACUCUAAGUGUUUCUUUUGUCAAAAAUUGAUCUCUUGUGGGGAGAAUGUUUAAUUAUGGGAAAUAGGGGGAGUUUUUGAAUCUUUGAUUAAUUUCUCUUGGAAUAUCUCUCUCUAUGCCUCAACAAGUGAAUUUGACUUAGAGAUAGGAAAUUGAGUUUGAUUUGCAAAAACAAACCAAGUGGUGGCAAAGAAUGAUCCAAAUAUGCCAAAAUUUGAAUCAAAACAAAUUCUUGUUCUCUUUUGCAUUGAUGUUGCACUUCUAUAUGUUGCUUUUUGCUGUGUUGGCAUAAAUCACCAAAAAGGGGGGAGAUUGAAAGGGAAAUGUGCCCUUGGGCCAUUUCUAAGUAUUUGGGUGAUUAAGUGUCCAACACAAAUGAUUAUGUGUUAAUCUAUGCCAAAUGGUGGACAAAGUGCAAAUCAAUACAAAGGUAUGAUUCUAGACUUAGUACAUUGGUUUUUGUGUACUAACAUAUUUGUCUAAGUGCUAGAAUCAGAGAAAAAGACAAAUGGAAAAGACUUGGCUCGAGCAGCCAAGACUCUGCUCAGUCUGGGUGCACCGGAUAGUGUCCGGUGGUGCACCGGACAGUGUCUGGUGCGCCAGGCUGGCGCUGGUCAACUGGCCGCUCUCGGGAACUCAACGGCGGCAUACGGCUAAAAAUCACCGGACUGUCCGGUGGUGCACCGGACUGUCCGGUGAGCCAACGGUCGGCCGAGCCAACGGUCGGCCGCGCAAUCCGCGCGUGACACGUGACCGGGCCAACGGUCUGAAGGGGGCACCGGACUGUCCGGUGCGUCAAUGGCUCUAAUUUCUCAAUGGUAGGUUGCGCCAGAACAGGAAAGAAAUCUGCACCGGACUGUCCGGUGCACCACCCGACAGAAGGCAAGGAUAGCCUUCCCGGAUUGCUCUCAACGGCUCCUAGCUGCCUUGGGGCUAUAAAAGGGACCCCUAGGCGCAUGGAGGAGGACACCAAGCAUACUUUGAGCAUUCUUGAUCAUUCACACUUCGUCUUUGCGCACUCGUUUGACAUUCUUAGUGGUUUGAGCUCCGUUCUAGUGAGAACCUUGUGAUAUUCAUUUGAGCUCAAGUCUUGGCCGUGUGUGUGCGUAUUGCUGUGGAUUUGUGUGUGUUGCUUCCCUCCCUUACUCUAGUGCUUUCACUUUGAUUCUCAUUGUAAGGGCAAGAGACUCCAAGUUGUGGAGAUUCCUCGCAAACGGGAAAGAGUAAAGAAGGAAGAACACCGUGGUAUUCAAGUCGAUCAUCAGAUCACUUGAGAGGGGUUGAGUGCAACCCUCGUCCGUUGGGACGCCACAACGUGGAGUAGGCAAGUGUUGUACUUGGUUGAACCAUAAGAUAAUCCUCGUGUCUCUUGUGCUUGUUCUCACUGUGUCUAUUUUGCUUCACAAGAGCUCUCCUUAGCCAAUUGAUUUUAUUGUGCUAACUCCUAACCAAGUUUUGUGUCUUUAAGUUUCAAGUUUUUAUAGGAUCACCUAUUCACCUCCCCUCUAGGUGCUCUCAAUAAGCGGCUGACGCAUUGGUCCCGCCCGCCAGUGAGCGGGAGCGAGGGAGGUAGUGGGCUGCGGGGAAGAGGGAACUAACUUGGGCCGGGUGAGAGACUUUUGGCCCAGGUGUAGAUAUGGUCUUUUCUUUUCUAUUUUCCUUUCUUCCUUUCCAAAUUCAACUUCAAUUUCCAAUUUAAAUUCAAAUCUUGUGGCAAAUUAUCCUCAGAUUAUAUUGUGCAAUUAGGAGUACUAAUUUUGGAGAUAUUUAUAUAUAUAUAUAUAUUUCAUAUCCUUUCUCCUUUUUCCCAUUUCCAUUUUUCAAACCUAAAUCACCAUUUAGGCUUUCAAUUCAAUUUCCUCGUCAUUACAUUUUGAUUAAUAGUGUUGCUAUUAUUAUUAUAUGCACAAGCAACAAAACUCCAGCAUGAUGCACACUUUAUUGAGGUAUUAUUUAUUUUUUAACAUGUCUCCUAAUAACUUUUUAUGAAUGAGAAAGCAAUACUUUAAAAUUUUAUUCCUCUCUUUAGUUUUCCAAAGUUGGGUAUUACACGGUAUAACGUUGUCGGGGACCAUAAUUAGGGGUACCCUCAAGGCUCCUAAUUCUCAGCUGGUAACCCCCAUCAGCAUAAAGCUGCAAAGGCCUGAUGGGUGCGAUUAAGACAGGGAUCAGUCCAUUCGAGGGACUCGAUCACGCCUCGCCCGAGCCUAGCCUCGGACAAGGGCAGCCAACCCCGGAGGAUCUCCGCCUCGCCCGAGGCCCCCCUCCAGCGGCGAACAUGUUUUCCGGCUCGCCCGAGGCCCUGUCUUCGCUAAGAAGCAACCUUGACCAAAUCGCUGCACCGACCGACCAAAUCGCAGGAGCAUUUAAUGCAAAGGUGGCCUGACGCCUUUAUCCUGACGCGCGCCCCUCAGCCGACAGAGCCGAAGUGACCGCCGUCACUUCGCCGCUCCACUGACCGGUCUGACAGAAAGACAGCGCCGCCUGCGCCGCUCCGACUGCGGUGCCACUUGAUAGAGUGAGGCUGACAGGCAGUCAGGCCCGGCCGCAGGCACCAUAGGAAGCUCCGCUCCGCCCAACCCAGGGCUCGGACUCGGGCUAAGCCCCGGAAGACGGCGAACUCCGCUCCGCCCGACCCAGGGCUCGGACUCGGGCUAAGCCCCGGAAGACGGCGAACUCCGCUCCGCCCGACCUAGGGCUCGGACUCGGGCUAAGCCCUGGAAGACGGCGAACUCCGCUCCGCCCGACCCAGGGCUCGGACUCGGGCUAAGCCCCGGAAGACGGCGAACUCCGUUCCGCCCGAACCAGGGCUCGGACUUGGGCUCAGCCCCAGAAGACGACGAAUUCUGCUCCGCCCGACCCAGGGCUCGUACUUGGGCUCAGCCCUGGCCUCAGCCAACGGCCUCCGCCUCGCCCGACCUAGGGGCUCGGACUCGACCUCGGCCACGGAAGACGGACUCGACCUCGACCUCGGAGGAGCCUCCACAUCGCCCAACCUAGGGCGCGGGCCGGCCACGUCAACGGGAGGCGCCAUCAUUACCCUACUCCAAGCUGACUCAGGCUACGGGGAACAAGACCGGCGUCCCAUCUGGCUCGCUCUGCCAGAUAGGCAAUGAUGGCGUCCCGCACGCUCCCUGACGAUGGCGGCUCUCGGCCCCCUUACGGAAGCAAGAGGACGUCAGCAAGGACUCGACAGCCCCGACAGUUGUCCCUCCGCCUGGCUCCAGCGCUCCUCCGACGGCCACGACAUCACACAAACCGGGUGCCAAAAUCUCUCCGGCCGCCACGAUGGCGUGUACUUAGGGCGCUAGCUCUCCUCCGCUAGACACGUAGCACUCUGCUACACCCCCCAUUGUACACCUGGAUCCUCUCCUUACGCCUAUAAAAGGAAGGACAAGGGCCCUCUUAGAGAGGGUUGGCCGCACGGGGACGAGGACGAGACAGGCGCUCGCGUGAGGUCGCUCGCUCCCUCUCCCGUGUGAACGCUUGUAACCCCCUACUGCAAGCGCACCCGACCUGGGCGCGGGCUGAACACGAAGGCCACGGGAUUCCCACAUCUCUCACGCCUGUCUUCGGCCACCUCACUUCCCCCCUUCGCGCUCGGCCUUGCGUCGACCCAUCUGGGCUGGGGUACGCAGCGACAUUCACUCAUCGGCUUAGGGACCACCCAGUCUCGAAACACCGACAGUUGGCGCACUUGGUAGGGGCCUGCUGCGUGUUGACGAAUAGCUUCCCGUCAAGCUCCAGAUGGGCAGUCUCCAGCAACCUCGCCGGCCCGGGACGGUGCUCCGUUUCGGGAACCUUGAGUUCAUGUCCCUCGACGGCAGCUACGACAUGAUACUCUUCCCACCGCCGGGCGACAGUGACAAUGGCGGUCGACAGCCCGCCCGCCGGCGGCGGAAUCGACGACGUCUUCCCCGCGUGGUGGAAGAACAACCUUCGAGCUCGCCCCGUCCUCUUCCCCGCCGACGGAGGAGGAGGCGGGGCAACCAAGGCCAAGCAGGAGGCAGCGCCUCGUCGGCUGUUGAGCGAGUCGACAACGCCAGCACCCCAGCGGGGGGCGCGUCGGGCAUCGACCUCGCACUUGAGACAAAGACGAGCGCUGUCUCCCCGCGACACGCCAAUCCCGAGCAAACGGACGAUGCCAGCACGCUCGCGGAAGGCUUGUUGGGUGUCACCCUCUUACCUGAGACGACGGUGUAGUCAGUCCCCGACGUGACUUCAUCACCACCCGUCGACCAAGAGGUACCGACCAAUUCCCAUCCCACGCCUUUCGGAUUCAGCCUCGACCCGCCUAGCGGCUUCGCUUUGGCAGACGCUCUCGUAGAGGCGAGUCCGAACCCUCUGGGGUUUCAUAUGCGGUCACCUUGGGACCGGCUGACGGACGUCUCGACCUAUGGGCCCUCUGGGUCCGAGGAAGACGAUGAGCCCAGCUUCUGUUGGGAUUUCUCCGGACUUGGCAACUCCAGUGCCAUGCGGGACUUCAUGACCGCAUGCGACUACUGCCUUUCCGACUGUUCCAACGGUAGCCGUAGCCUCGGUGACGAGGACUGCGGCCCAAGCCGCGAAUGUUUCCACGUCGAUCUAGGGGGUCCCUCCGAAGGCGACCAUCUCGGCAUGUCGGAGGACGGUGAUCUUCCUAGGUCGGUGCCUCGCGUUGACAUCCCACGGGAGCUAGCUGUGGUCCCCGUUCCGGCGGGGGGUCACGACCCACAGCUCGAGCUAAUCCGCGGGGUGCAGGCCAGGCUCGACGAGGGAGCAGGAGCGCUUGAGCCAAUCCGCCGGGACGUCGGGCAGGCAUGGGCGGGCCAACCUCCGGCCGGAGAAAUGCGUCAUCUACCCCAGGGCUUCCAGCACCGCAUCGCCGACGAUGUCAGGGUCAGGCCGCCACCCGCAUCCAGUGGGGUCAGCCAGAACCUAGCUGCAGCAGCAAUGCUCCUCCGCGCGAUGCCAGAGCCAUCAACCACCGAGGGGCGGCGAAUCCAGGGAGAGCUCAAGAAUCUCCUGGAAGGCGCCGCGGUCCGGCGGGCCGAGAGCUCCGCCUCCCGAAGGCAGGGCUACCCCUCGGAACAUCAUGCCGCGACUUCCCGAUUCAUGCGGGAAGCCUCGGUCUACACCGGGCGCACGCGCAACACAGCGCCUGCGGCCCCGGGUCGCCUCGGCAACGAGCACCAUCACCGCGACCGUCGAGCCCACCUCGACGAGAGGGUGCGCCGAGGCUACCACCCCAGGCGUGGGGACGCUACGACAGCGGGGAGGAUCGAAGUCCCUCGCCCGAACCACCCGGUCCGCAGGCCUUCAGCCGGGCCAUACGACGGGCGCCGUUCCCGACCCGGUUUCGACCCCCGACUACUAUCACAAAGUACUCGGGGGAGACGAGACCGGAACUGUGGCUCGCGCACUACCGUCUGGCCUGCCAACUGGGUGGAACGGACGAUGACAACCUCAUCAUCCGCAACCUCCCCCUGUUCCUCUCCGACACCGCUCGCGCAUGGUUGGAGCACCUGCCUCCGGGGCAGAUCUCCAACUGGGACGACCUAGUCCAAGCUUUCGCCGGCAAUUUCCAGGGCACGCACGUACAAGCAGCCGGGAGAGUCUCUCCGGGACUACAUCCGGCGAUUCUCGAAGCAGCGCACCGAGCUGCCCAACAUCACCGACUCGGAUGUCAUCGGCGCGUUCCUCGCCGGCACCACCUGCCGCGACCUGGUGAGCAAGCUGGGUCGCUGUAACAACCUAGAGUCCUAUUUUGGUAUUUAAGGAAACCUUCUAAAGAUUUAAAAAUUUCAAGUGUCUGGGAUAAAGAUUUUUUCUCACCUUUUAGAUUAAUCUCCUAAGACAAAUAAAAGGAAAAACUAGAUGGUUCAAAUGUAGAUUUGAAUUCAAAACACUGGAUUUGAAUUUAAGCAAACAAAGAUAUUCUCUUCCUGUAUUAGAGUGGAUUAUUGGUUACAAAAAAAACACUACCAAAUUACAUACAAAGUUAGAAGCAUUUAUAUACAUGAGAAGAACAAUAAAUAAAAAUUAUAUUUUUGCAUUCAUAUUGAAGCUUUUGUUUGUGCAUUUAGAUGUAGUUUGUAUUUCAAAACCAAACUUCAAAUUUAAUUAGACUUUGAAAACAGGAAAUAAAUAAAAAAGAACUAAGCCUACCUGUUGGGUCAUGCGCCAUGCACAUGCACAUGCAAAUCGAGCUGGUGGUAACAAACUUUGCUUCCUACUCGGUCUCUCUCUCCGUUGCGUGUGCCCGGCCAUUUUGCAUGUGGAUACGGAGGUCAGCACCGCCUCCAUCGCAACAAACUGCAUGCAUCGCGCGGAUGUCACCAGCGAACUCCGUAUCCCACGAAUCUCGCCCCUAGCUCAAGCUAAACGAACUCCUCCACAAAUCCUGAACAAGCUAUGGCUUCCAUAACCACCGUCGUAUUUUUCUUUUUCUCAGACUCGGCGGAUGUCUUGCGGCCUUGGAUCUGCCUACUGGGAUAUAUAAAUCCCUGACCGCUUCCUUGCUUGAUCCGCGCCACUGCUAGGUGCCGGGCACGGGUCUUCGUCGCCAAGCCAUCGGGCGUCUGGCAAGAUGCGCGGUGCGAAGCCAAGAAAAUAGAUAGAGGAAAGAGAAGAGGACACCCACCAUCCGCAGAGAGGAAUUUGAGAGAGAAGGGUCCGCCGCCUAGGCAAUCCUGCUGCCUGCUGAGUCCAGAUACGAACUCCCAGCUGGGUGAUUCCCUCUGUUCUCCACGUCGUGUUUCGCUGGUAGGCAUGGAAUAGUUCAUCGGUGCAUCGGGCUGGGACUCGUCGGUGCGUUGCCGCCCAGCAUCGUUUGCUGCUGCUCUACUUCAAGUGCAGGUAUGGCCCCAUGCGAUGCUCCACGGCCUAUUAAACCAUAUAGAUUGAAGCUUGGUCGCCGGGUCGAUGGGUGGGGCAGUCCUAGCUAUAGCGCCGCCGUGGGGAGGAAGUGCGAUCAUCGGGGUAGUUAGUGAGUGGGAUAAGAAAGAGAUAGAAAUGGGUGCUGCUCGGGUGCCGUCAGUCUUGAGAUAAACGGUCAGGAUUAGGCGAGCACAUCCCACGUGGGCGACCGUCGAUCUGUGAAGUAAUGGUCAGGAUCAGAUCGAUCUUACCUCUUCGCUAUGUUAAAUCGUGAUCGUAUAUUUCACAUCCGAUGGUCGUCUUGGCGUACCGGUUCAUAAAGAGGAUUGUAUAAUCUACGCCGUUGAUCCUGCAUCCAGCGGUGCUCGUUGGCUGAUACCCCUUCGGCCGAGACACUUUCUAGUAAAGCCCCUCUGUUUUUAAGAAGUGAACCCGCCAUCCAUUAUAGUAUUUAGAUCAUUACACUGCGGUCCUGGAAUUUAUAGUUUGAACCCUGAACUUCUCCAGAUUCGUGUGCGCAGUCCUGAGGUCCGAGAAAAUAGGAAAAAGGGUUUAGAAAAUAGAUUUUUAGUGCCAAAAUAAUUCCAGAACUUAUAUAAUUCAUAGAAAAUUCAUCUUAGCUUCUUUUUAAUCCAUUUACUGUUGCAAUAAUUUUAUAUUAAUAUUGUUUAUCACUUGGUAACUCUGUUUAUACAUGAAACCUAGAUUAAAUUUGUCUACUUAAUUUAUUCCAUACCAAUCACUUAAUAACUUUAGAAAAUCAUAACUCAAUAACCGUAACUUCGAAUUUAGUGAUUCUCGAGCCCACGAUCUCGUAGCGACGUGCAGAUUAUUAUUAUUCAGUUUAUUCUUAUGUUUGGUGUAAUGUUAAUUUUGCCUAUACCAUGUUUGUUUGUAUUGCUACGACUAGCGUGAGGACACGUGUCAUCUGAAGAGCAAGUUGGUACCUGGAAUCUCAAGUCCCAGGCAAGUUGUGCCCUUGAUCACUUCUUUUACCCACUCAUGUUUUAAUUAAUCAUAAUGAUCUGCAUAGGUUAAUUUUGAUGGGACCUAAUAGGUUACCCUAGUUUGUCUAUCCUUAUGCCUUGUUUACCACUGAACUUUUUGGGUAGUACUUGCUAGUGCUAUAUGUGGUUUUGGGCAUUGAGAUACACAAUAUUCAUGAUUAUACUUUUGUUAUCCGUUGUUAUUUACUGUUCAUGUCAAGAUCAUUAAUGUUAAUUGGAACAUAGAGCUUAACUUGAGAAACACGUGCCACCACAAGGGUUUAUGGACGCCCUUGGCUGAUUAAUUAGGAAAGCUAGUGGAGGACUACCUUACCCGAAAGGGGCAAGGGCAGUAGGGGAGUGGUCAGUGUAGGGAGGUCCUUGGUUGAUUUUGCUGCGAUGGCGGUCAGGCAAGAACCCUGCAUUGGAGCUUCCUAUAAACUGUAGCGGGUUUUCUGAAGCUAGUGGAACCUUGUAAAGGCCUCGUAGUGUUACCCUGCCCCGCCUCCUCGGUAAAGGUGUAUGGGAAGUCGCGAUCCCUUGGCAGAUGGGUAACAUGACUUGUGGGUAAAGGGUACAACCUCUGCAGAGUGUAAAACUGGUAUACUAGCCGAGCUCACGGUCAUGAGCAGCUCAGGACUCUCUGAUGAUUAAAUUAUGGAACUUAAACUCAAUUUGUCAUAUGCAUUGCAUCGCAGGUGACGUUGUUACUUUUGUUCUACUACUUAAUUGGGUUGGUAUUUACUUAUACUUAGUAAUUGCUAAUAAAAUUUUGACCAACUUUAAAAGCAAUGCUAAAGCUCUAACCAUCCUCUUUGGUAAGCCUUACACUUCACGUGAGCUCCCACCUUUGGCGAGUUCAUGCACAUUAUUCCCCACAACUUGUUGAGCGAUGAACGUAUGUGAGCUCACUCUUGCUGUCUCACACCCCCCCACAGGUCAAGAACAGGUACCGUAGGAUGAGGCGCAUGGAGGAUGCUGUGGCGAGUUCGUGAGAGGUCUAGGUCGUCGUCUCCCAGUCAACUUUGGGUUGCUGGACCGUUGUCUCCUUAUAAUGUAAUUACUUAUUUAUUUUGUAUAGAACUCUUGUUAUAUAGUAAAGAUGUGACAUUCGAUCCUGUGCCAUGAUUCAUCAUAUGUGUGAGACUUGGUCCCAGCACACCUGGUGAUUAUGUUCGCGCCCGGGUUUUGGACCCCUAAAAUCCGGGUGUGACAGUCGCAAGACCCCCACCAGGGCGAGCGAGCUGAUGGACAUCGCCACCAAGUUCGCCUCCGGCCAGGAGGCGGUCGAGGUUAUCUUCCGGAAGGACAAGCAGCCCCAGGGCCGCCCAUCGGAAGAUGCCCCCGAGGCGUCAACUCAGCGCGGCGCCAAGAAGAAGGGCAAGAAGAAGUCGCAAGCGAAAUGCGACGCCGCCGACGCGGACCUUGUCGCCGCCGCCGAGUACAAGAACCCUCGGAAACCCCCCGGAGGUGCCAACCUUUUCGACAAGAUGCUCAAGGAGCCGUGCCCCUACCACCAGGGGCCCAUCAAGCACACCCUUGAGGAGUGCGUCAUGCUUCGGCGCCACUUCCACAGGGCCGGGCCACCCGCGGAGGGUGGCAGGGCCCACGACGACGACAAGAAGAAGGAUCACCAGGCAGGAGAGUUCCCCGAGGUCCGCGACUGCUUCAUGAUCUACGGUGGGCAAGCGGCAAACGUCUCGGCUCGGCACCGCAAGCAAGAGCGCCGGGAGGUCUGUUCGGUGAAGGUGGCGGCGCCAGUCUACCUAGACUAGUCCGACAAGCCCAUCACCUUCAACCAAGCCGACCACCCGACCAUGUGCCGAGCCCGGGGAAAUACCCGCUCGUCGUCGACCCCGUCAUCGGCGACGUCAGGCUCACCAAGGUCCUCAAGGACGGAGGCAGCAGCCUCAACAUCAUCUACGCCGAGACCCUCGGGCUUCUGCGUAUUGAUCCGUCCUCGGUCCGGGCAGGCGCUGCGCCUUUCCAUGGGAUCAUUCCCGGGAAGCGCGUCCAGCCCCUCGGACAACGCGACCUUCCCGUCUGCUUCGGAACACCCUCCAACUUCCGAAGGGAGACCCUGACGUUCGAGGUGGUCGGGUUUCGAGGAACCUACCACGCGGUACUGGGAAGGCCAUGCUACGCGAAGUUCAUGGCCGUCCCCAACUACACCUACCUGAAGCUCAAGAUGUCGGGCCCCAACGGGGUCAUCACCGUCGACCCCACGUACAAACACGCGUUCGAAUGCGACGUGGAGUGCGUGGAGUACGCCGAGGCCCUCGCCGAGUCCGAGGCCCUCAUCGCCGACCUGGAGAGCCUCUCUAAGGAGGUGCCAGACGUGAAGCGUCAUGCCGGCAACUUCGAGCCAGCGGAGACGGUUAAGUCCGUCCCCCUCGACCCCAGCAGCGACGCCUCCAAGCAAGUCCGGAUCAGCUCCGAGCUCGACCCCAAAUAGGAAGCAGUGCUCGUCGACUUUCUCCGCGCGAACGCCGACGUCUUCGCGUGGAGUCCCUCGGACAUGCCUAGCAUACCGAGGGAUGUCGCCGAGCACUCGCUGGACAUCCGAGCCGGAGCCCGACCCGUCAAGCAGCCUCUGCGCCGAUUCGACGAGGAGAGGCGCAGAGCCAUAGGCGAGGAGAUCCACAAGCUAAUGGCGGCGGGGUUCAUCAAAGAGGUAUUCCAUCCCGAAUGGCUUGCCAACCCUGUGCUUGUGAGAAAGAAAGGGGGGAAAUGGCGGAUGUGUGUAGACUACACUGGUCUGAACAAAGCAUGUCCGAAGGUUCCCUACCCUCUGCCUCGCAUCGAUCAAAUCGUGGAUUCCACUGCUGGGUGCGAAACCCUGUCUUUCCUCGAUGCCUACUCAGGGUAUCACCAAAUCAGGAUGAAAGAGUCCGACCAGCUCGCGACUUCUUUCAUCACACCCUUCGGCAUGUACUGCUAUGUCACCAUGUCGUUCGGCUUGAGGAAUGCGGGCGCGACGUACCAGCGGUGCAUGAACCAUGUGUUCGGCGAACACAUCAGCCGCACGGUCGAGGCCUACAUCGAUGACAUCGUAGUCAAGACGAGGAAAGCCUCCGACCUCCUUUCCGACCUUGAAGUGACAUUCCGAUGUCUCAAGGCGAAAGGCGUCAAGCUCAAUCCCAAAAAGUGUGUCUUCGGGGUGCCCCGAGGCAUGCUCUUGGGGUUCAUCGUCUCCGAGCGGGGCAUCGAAGCCAACUCGGAGAAGAUCGCAGCCAUCGUCAGCAUGGGGCCCAUCAAGGACUUGAAAGGCGUGCAGAGGGUCAUGGGAUGUCUUGCGGCUCUGAGCCGCUUCAUCUCACGCCUCGGCGAAAGAGGUCUGCCUCUAUACCGCCUCUUAAGGAAGGCCGAGUGCUUCACUUGGACCCCCGAGGCCGAGGAAGCCCUCAGGAACCUGAAGGCGCUUCUCACGAAUGCGCCUAUCUUGGUGCCCCCAGCUGCCGGAGAAGCCCUCUUGAUCUACAUCGCCGCGACCACUCAGGUGGUUAGCGCCGCGAUUGUGGUUGAGAGGCAAGAAGAGGGGCAUGCAUUGCCCGUUCAAAGGCCAGUCUACUUCGUCAGCGAGGUAUUGUCCGAAACCAAGGUCCGCUACCCACAAGUUCAGAAGCUGAUGUACGCGGUGAUCCUGACGCGGCGGAAGCUGCGACACUACUUCGAGUCUCAUCCGGUAACUGUGGUGUCGUCCUUCCCCCUGGGGGAGAUCAUCCAGUGCCGAGAGGCCUCGGGUAGAAUCGCAAAGUGGGCGGUGGAAAUCAUGGGCGAAGCAAUCUCGUUCGCCCCUCGGAAGGCCAUCAAGUCCCAGGUCCUGGCGGACUUCGUGGCCGAAUGGGUCAACACCCAGCUCCCAACAGCUCCGAUCCAACCGGAGCUCUGGACCAUGUUCUUCGACGAGUCGCUGAUGAAGACAGGAGCCGGCGCAGGCCUACUCUUCGUCUCGCCCCUCGGGAAGCACCUACGCUACGUGCUACGCCUCCAUUUCCUGGCAUCCAACAAUGUGGCUGAGUACGAGGCUCUGGUCAACGGAUUGCGGAUUGACCAAGUCAUGAAGAACUCCCACUGCCGCGACCCGAAGAUGGAGGCCUACUGCGAUGAGGUUCGGCGCCUGGAAGACAAGUUCUACGGGCUCGAGCUCAACCACAUCGCUCGGCGCUACAACGAGACUGCGGACGAGCUGGCUAAAAUAGCCUCGGGACGGACAACGGUUCCCCCGGACGUCUUCUCCCGAGAUCUGCAUCAACCCUCCGUCAAGAUCGACGACACGCCCGAGCCUGAGGCCCCCUCGGCUCAUCCCGAGGUACCCUCGGCACAGUCUGAGGCACCCUCGGUUCGGCCCGAGGCACCCUCGGUUCAGCCCGAGGUACCUUCGGCCCCCGAGGGCGAGACGCUGCACGUCGUGGGGGAGCGAAGCGGGGUCAUGCCUGAUCAAAACUGGCAGACCCCGUACCUGCAAUAUCUCCAUCGAGGAGAGCUACCCUCCGACCGAGCCGAAGCUCGGCGGGUGGCGCGGCGUGCCAAGUCGUUCGUCUUGCUGGGAGAUGAGAAGGAGCUCUACCACCGCAGCCCCUCUGGCAUCCUCCAACGAUGCAUCUCCAUCGCCGAAGGUUAGGAACUCCUGCGAGAGAUACACUCGGGGGCUUGCAGCCAUCACGCAGCGCCUCGAGCCCUUGUCGGGAAUGCUUUCCGACAAGGCUUCUACUGGCCCACGGCGGUGGCCGACGCCACUAGAAUUGUCCGCGCCUGCGAAGGGUGUCAGUUCUACGCAAGGCAGAUCCACCUGCCCGCUCAGGCUCUGCAGACGAUACCCAUCACCUGGCCUUUUGCUGUGUGGGGUCUGGACCUCGUCGGCCCCUUGCAGAAGGCACCCGGGGGCUACACGCACCUGUUGGUCGCCAUCGACAAAUUCUCCAAGUGGAUCGAGGUCCGACCCCUAAACAGCAUCAGGUCCGAGCAGGCGGUGGCGUUCUUCACCAACAUCAUCCAUCGCUUCGGGGUCCCGAACUCCAUCAUCACCGACAACGGCACCCAGUUCACCGGCAGGAAGUUCCUGGACUUCUGCGAGGAUCACCACAUCCGGGUGGACUGGGCCGCCGUGGCUCACCCCAUGUCAAAUGGGCAAGUAGAGCGUGCCAACAACAUGAUUCUACAAGGACUCAAGCCUCGGAUCUACAACGACCUCAACAAGUUCGGCAAGCGAUGGAUGAAGGAACUCCCCUCGGUGGUCUGGAGCCUGAGGACAACGCCGAGCCGAGCCACGGGCUUCACGCCGUUCUUUCUAGUCUAUGGGGCCGAGGCCAUCUUGCCCACAGACUUAGAAUACGGUUCCCCGAGGACGAGGGCCUACACCGACCAAAGCAACCAAGCUAAUCGAGAAGACUCGCUGGACCAGCUGGAGGAGGCUCGGCAAAAGGCCUUACUACACUCGGCACGGUACCAGCAGUCCCUGCGACGCUACCACGCCCGAGGGGUCCGGUCCUGAGACCUCUUGGUGGGCGACCUGGUGCUUCGGCUGUGACAAGACGCCCGAGGGCGGCACAAGCUCACGCCCCCCUGGGAGGGGCCGUUCGUCAUCGCCAAAGUUCUGAAGCCCGGAACGUACAAGCUGGCCAACAGUCAAGGCGAGGUCUACGGCAACGCUUGGAACAUCCAACAGCUACGUCGCUUCUACCCUUAAGAUGUUUUCAAGUUGUUCAUAUACCUCGCUCCCACGCAAAGUUUAGUCAUCAAGGAAGGGUCGGCCUCGCCUCGGCAAAGCCCGACCCUCCCUCGGGGGCUAAAAGGGGGGAACCCCCUCUGCGUCGAAUUUUUUCCUCGAAAAAAGAUCCUUUCUGCCAGAAUGUCUUUCGUGCUUUUUGACUACUUCGAAAGUGGAUCCUGAAAACGACAGAGUACACGUAAGCAGCCAAGGCUGACCGAGCCGAGGGACUCCUACGCCUUCGGGAUACGGAUACCUCACUCAUCACCUUCUGCGAUAAGUAACUCACAUUCGGAUAAGUGAUUCCGCGGACCGAACAAGUCUUCACGUUCGGAAGCUCUUCUGCCGGAGCGAUUCUUUGAGCCUUCUCGACUGCGUCGGUGACAGAACCCCAUGGACGGGUAAGAGUGCGCGUAAGCGGCAAGGCCGACCGAGCCGAGGAACUCCUACGCCUCCGGGAUACGGAUACCUCACUCAUCACCUUCCGUGAGAAGCAACUCUCGCUCGCACAAACAUUCCUGUUACCGACAAAAAAGUCCAGAUAUUCGAAACAAGAGGAAAGGAGACGCAGCUUUACAACACGGCGAGGGUGUGUUUUGGCCUCGGCGGCCGCAGAAAACACACGCUACAAGAUAAUCCGAUCCUGCAGGCUCGGAUCUUGACGGCUAAAGGGACCAGCAGCACCCUCGGCGUCGACAACACCUUCGGCGAGGUCCGACCUAGCCUCGAACGGCGACGCGGUCCGAGUAUCUCCACUCCGAAGGACGACGUCAUCACCACACCCGGGCCAUCGCCGCCAGGGUCUUCUCCGAGAAUCCGGCUCGGGCAGGCGGAUCGGCCGGUCACCCCGGGGCCUCGGCCAGCUGUCCUCCAAGGACAUCAGCCCGGCCCGAGGCCUCGGCAGAUCAAUUCCGGCGUCGGUCCCGCUAACGGACGACCCGGCCAGGCUCCGGUCGACCAGGUCUUCUUUUCGAGCCAACUCUGCCUUUGUCCAUGCUGACACCGCUACCCCUGGCCUCGGCUCUUCGAAGAGCGGUCGAGGGGUUCCUCUAACUAAGCAAGGGAAGCCUCGGACAACAAGGCUGACCGAGCCGAGGGACUCCUACGCCUCCGGGAUACGUAUACCUCACUCGUCACCUUUACACGGGGCGACUCACGCUUGGUGAAGCGGUUCAGACAACCAACAGGCGAGUCUUAGUGCUCGAAAAUGAGGAAAAAACACGGCUCCGUGCCGAAAUUACAUACAUAUUCAGGCCUCGACAACCGUAAUGAACAACCUCCACACCGGGGAGCCUGCGGGGCGACGAGCUCCGGGUGACCCGCCAGCGACCUCUGCAGCAGCAGCCGUGGUCCCAGGACGGACGCGACCGCCGGAAGGCUCUCGUUCGCGUUCCCGCUCAAGGGACACAAACCAGCCAUCAAAGCCAAAGAGCGGGCCGCUCCAAAGCGCACCGGCAGGUCCUCGUUCCCGUCCUCUCCACGAAAGCGAGGAAGAGGGCAGAAUGUUGCAUCCUAGCUGGGCAGCAACAGUUCGCCUUCCCCGGCAUGGCUGGAGGACGCCUCCUCUGCAGAGCUGGAGGAUGGUUGCCACCACCAGAAGCUGGAAGAAGAGGUGGCCAGCUGGCCCGCGCGGGAGGUAGAGCCCCGGCUCGCCUCGCUCUCCGCCCCAGCAAGGAUGAUGAACAUCCUUGAGGCUGAGGGCGGGACCAAGAUCACAGCCCGGCUUGCCUCUCCCCAUCCAGGGGCUGGAGGUCACCGUCUUGGGUGACCGCCGGCGGAGGGGUGCAGCCGGGCUGCAUGAUGAAAAUCCUUGAAGCCGAACGAUGGAUGAAAGGUACCAACUCCCAUGGAGUUGCGUUCCUCCAACGACGAGGCGGAAAGACGGCGGGUAUCCCCCAUCCGGGGGCUUGGAAGGUGGAAAGACACGAUGCAUAAGGGAGCGCGAAGACAUGGUCGCCUCCCAAGGGGGUCACCCUCCUUUUAAAGGCGGCUCUCCCUACUUGCGUCCCCAGCCGUCGUGGGCUGAGUCUUCUCCAACACGCUCCAAGGUCCUCCCCUACGGCACGGGGGCUGGGUCCCACACGUCAUGCAAGCCGGCCCAGAGCAGAAGAAGCCAAACCGCCGAGCGCGGUGCGUGCAACCGCCCAGCGGUUACAAGCGGCUCUCCACUUUUGCCCAGAGCAGCGGGGAAAGGGCGGGCAGCCAUGCAGGCGGCAUGCAACCGCGCCAAGUGGGCGCACUUCUCCGACUCCCAACACGCCCAGCAUGGAGGCCCAGGCCCACGCGUCAUGCAACCGGCGUGCCGAAUGCUUCGUGCAUGCAACUGCACCGCCACUUGCGCCACCAUCGCGCCACCUCGACUGCGGAACCAAUACCGCGACUCGAGGCGACCCAGCGCACGACCCAGCAGCGCCAUCCUGGCGCGACGGUCAAUGCGGCCAAAAAUGGGCCGGCAGUAAUGGCGGUGGCAGGCGGGCAGGAGCAGCGGUCACGUCGUCAGCCAAGCUUACGUCCCAUCCGGGGGCAGCGAGAGAACCCUCUCUCACGGCGUGAAGACGACGCGCCCGUGUUUCGUUCCUCGAACGGCUCGCGCACGCACAACGGCCGCCCCGCGAACCACUCGCCCCGUCGCAUUAACUCCGCGGCGGGACAGGCGGCGCCUCUGGCAGGAGAAGCGAGCGACGCUUCGUCUUCGCCAUAAUGACCGCGUCAAAAAAGGUACGCCGCGUCGUUCGAUUUCGUAUCAUUUUCCUUUUUUCCUCUUUCUCUCUCUUGCAACAGGGACCGGGAAAGGGGGAUACCCCGAAAAGGAUCCUUCCCCGUGAAGGAACCAGGCUCCGAGCCUCCCUAUUGAUCAGAGGUUCGAAGGCUGGCCCCUCGGAAGGGUUCAACAGCCGCCUCAGAGCACGUGGGCUCCACACCCACUACUGGUCAGGGGUUCGAAGGCCAACCCCUCGGAAGGGUUCAACGGCCGCCUCAGGCUACUCGGGCUCCGCGCCCACUAUUGAUCAGGGGUUCGAAGGCUGGCCCCCGAAGGGUUCACAGCCGCCUCAGACACAGAGCGAGGGAUGACCAUGGGUACGUUCGAUACAUAACCAAGGCUCGGGCUGCGCUCCCGAGGUACCCUAGGACAUUUCCGAGACCAGCGGGAACGAUCUUGUAACGGAAUCCCAUCAGAGGGAGGCAUCGAGCCCUCGGACCCCGUCGCCAGGGGACCGGGUCCGGCAGAUCACCCGCAGGUACUUUUGGGCGCGCCUCUGGGCCUCUAGCCGACCCCUAACGAAUGGGGCACGGACGUCCGCUCGGAUUACCCGCCUGCAGCUCACCGGAGACACCAUGUUCGGCGCCCACCGAGGGCAACAUGGCGCUUCCCCCCCCCCUCCUCCUUGCGGAAAGGCGACGCAGGGGCGCAUGUAAAAAAGUCGAGUCUGUCCCUGAUCGCCCUCUCGCCCUGUGCAGAGGCUCGGGGGCUGCUCUCGCAAACCCGGCUCCGGCCAAACCGUUGACAGCGUCAACAUACCAGCCCAAGAACUUGAGACCCGACCGUACACCCGGGCUACGGCCAGCUCGCAUGAGGGAACGACCAGACCAGCCGAAGCAUUGCGCGAGGCAUUAAGACCUCGGAGGAGUCAAACCACUCCUCCGAGGCCUCGGGGGCUACACCCGGCGGGUGCGCUCGCGCGCACCCACCGGAACAAAACGCAACCGAGAAAGGCUGGUCCCCUUGCAAAAAAGUGCGACGAAAGCCUCCAAGCGAGUGCUAACACUCCCUUCGAGGCUCGGGGGCUACUGUCGGGGACCAUAAUUAGGGGUACCCUCAAGGCUCCUAAUUCUCAGCUGGUAACCCCCAUCAGCAUAAAGUUGCAAAGGCCUGAUGGGUGCGAUUAAGACAGGGAUCAGUCCAUUCGAGGGACUCGAUCACGCCUCGCCCAAGCCUAGCCUCGGACAAGGGCAGCCGACCCCGGAGGAUCUCCGCCUCGCCCGAGGCCCCCCUCCAGCGGCGAACAUGUUUUCCGGCUCGCCCGAGGCCCUGUCUUCGCCAAGAAGCAACCUUGACCAAAUCGCUGCACCGACCGACCAAAUCGCAGGAGCAUUUAAUGCAAAGGUGGCCUGACGCCUUUAUCCUGACGUGCGCCCCUCAGCCGACAGAGCCGAAGUGACCGUUGUCACUUCGCCGCUCCACUGACCGGUCUGACAGAAAGGCAGCGCCGCCUGCGCCGCUCCGACUGCGGUGCCACUUGACAGAGUGUAACGUUGUCGGGGACCAUAAUUAGGGGUACCCUCAAGGCUCCUAAUUCUCAGCUGGUAACCCCCAUCAGCAUAAAGCUGCAAAGGCCUGAUGGGUGCGAUUAAGACAGGGAUCAGUCCAUUCGAGGGACUCGAUCACGCCUCGCCCGAGCCUAGCCUCGGACAAGGGCAGCCAACCCCGGAGUAUCUCCGCCUCGCCCGAGGCCCCCCUCCAGCGGCGAACAUGUUUUCCGGCUCGCCCGAGGCCCUGUCUUCGCCAAGAAGCAACCUUGACCAAAUCGCUGCACCGACCGACCAAAUCGCAGGAGCAUUUAAUGCAAAGGUGGCCUGACGCCUUUAUCCUGACGCGCGCCCCUCAGCCGACAGAGCCGAAGUGACUGCCGUCACUUCGCCGCUCCACUGACCGGUCUGACAGAAAGACAGCGCCGCCUGCGCCGCUCCGACUGCGGUGCCACUUGACAGAGUGAGGCUGACAGGCAGUCAGGCCCGGCCGCAGGCACCAUAGGAAGCUCCGCUCCGCCCAUCCCAGGGCUCGGACUCGGGCUAAGCCCCGGAAGACGGCGAACUCCGCUCCGCCCGACCCAGGGCUCGGACUCGGGCUAAGCCCCGGAAGACGACGAACUCUGCUCCGCCCGACCUAGGGCUCGGACUCGGGCUAAGCCCCGGAAGACGGCGAACUCCGCUCCGCCCGACCUAGGGCUCGGACUCGGGCUAAGCCCCGGAAGACGGCGAACUCCGUUCCGCCCGAACCAGGGCUCGGACUUAGGCUCAGCCCCAGAAGACGACGAAUUCCGCUCCGCCCGACCCAGGGCUCGGACUUGGGCUCAGCCCUGGCCUCAGCCAACGGCCUCCGCCUCGCCCGACCUAGGGGCUCGGACUCGACCUCGGCCACGGAAGACGGACUCGACCUCGACCUCGACCUCGGAGGAGCCUCCACAUCGCCCAACCUAGGGCGCGGGUCGACCACGUCAACGGGAGGCGCCAUCAUUACCCUACUCCAAGCUGACUCAGGCUACGGGGAACAAGACCGGCGUCCCAUCUGGCUCGCUCCGCCAGAUAGGCAAUGAUGGCGUCCCGCACGCUCCCUGACGAUGGCGGCUCUCGGCCCCCUUACGGAAGCAAGAGGACGUCAGCAAGGACUCGACAGCCCCGACAGCUGUCCCUCCGCCAGGCUCCAGCGCUCCUCCGACGGCCACGACAUCACACAAACUGGGCGCCAAAAUCUCUCCGGCCGCCACGAUGGCGUGUACUUAGGGCGCUAGCUCUCCUCCGCUAGACACGUAGCACUCUGCUACACCCCCCAUUGUACACCUGGAUCCUCUCCUUACACCUAUAAAAGGAAGGACCAGGGCCCUCUUAGAGAGGGUUGGCCGCGCGGGGACGAGGACGAGACAGGCGCUCGCGUGAGGCCGCUCGCUCCCUCUCCCGUGUGGACGCUUGUAACCCCCUACUGCAAGCGCACCCGACCUGGGCGCGGGCCGAACACGAAGGCCGCGGGAUUCCCACCUCUCUCACGCCUGUCUCCGGCCACCUCACUUCCCCCCUUCGCGCUCGGCCUCGCGUCGACCCAUCUGGGAUGGGGCACGCGGCGACAUUCACUCGUCGGCUUAGGGACCCCCCGGUUUCGAAACGCCGACAAACGUCAUACAACAAGUUAAAAAUAUGUGUUAAUGAAAUGUAGGUAUAAAUAAGAUGAGUUAUCUAGUUGCAGUAACUAAUAAGGGAAAAUUGAAUAACGCCUUCAUGGUAGACAGAAAAUAAUACAUGUAGGAUAUUAUGUUGUAGAUUGUAACCUUUUGGGUGGUGAUUUAAAUGUAUAUGUUGGACCUUUUCCUUUGUCAUCAAGUAUUGCGUCAUGUUGUACAUGUAGAAGUCAUUCAUAAAGAAGUGGGAAAAAGGUAAUGCUAUUUGUUAAUUGUCUAUGAAACCGUAGCAUGACAUGGGAUGUUGAUGUAGCAGGCACAACUGCGAAAUCUGUAAUGCCUGUGUCAAUUAGCUAUAGGUAUUGAAAGACAAGCAGGCAGGCAGAAAGGAAGCAAUAACAUUCUAUUGAACAAUUGAAUUUGAACACAAUGUUUGAAUAUGUACAAAAGAUAGUUUAGAGUUAGUAACAACAGAUGUUAUCAUUCGUCAUAAGAAUAAAUUUUGUUACAAUCUAGUAUGGAACAAUGUGAUGUUGUAAUUUCCUUCAAUUUGAUUGUACCAGUAUUAUUUGUUAUAUGAAAUGUGCAUAUGGAGUAACUGACCAUGUGCAGAAUGAAGUGAAUUCAGUUUAGCUAGAAGAGCAUAAUGUGGCAGGUUAGUAAAACGAAGAAGAUUGUACUUAAGGACAUAUGUGUCUACUAUGAGAGAUGCAUUUGGGAAAAAGUUGUGGUGUAAUUUGGUAAGAAACAAUAUAGUAUUGUACUUUUGUUGCAUUCAGUUGUGUUAGUAUUAUUUGUUAUAAGAAAUGUGUAUAUGGAAUAAUUGAUUGUGUGAAUUAUUGGUCACUUGUUUUUGAUUGCUAGAUGACAUAAAAAACAAGGCAACACAAGUUAGAAGAUUACAACCUUCUCCCCUUAAUUACUCUUUCUUCAAAGGAUAAUUUAAGGAGAGAAGAUAGGAAGUGAGGACAAAUAUGUAAUGGAUAGCAUAAGAAAAGAAUAAACGAAGGGUGAAACAUACAACUCAUCUUUAUGCCUUGAUCAUUGUCAUUUCAUCCUUGUCAAUUUAACAUAUGAUUACAAGCAUACUUUCGACUUUACACGAGAAAUGACUCGAAGUUACUUUGGAGGCUGAGUUAAACGAAGCUAUAGGCCAUUGAAAGGUGAAUUGUGCACCAGAGAAAAAAAGAAAUUUAGGGCCGCGACACUCAGCAAAGAGUCGUUGGCACUCGGGUCAUUUCGGGGCUAGCUUCGCCACUAUGUACAUAUUUGUAUUUUCCCUUCUAUAAUUGUAUUUCCCCUUCCAUAUUUACAAUCUCUUGUACUUCUAUAUAUUCGGGUCUAGAUCCCUCGUAAUAAAUGUCUUAUUUCUAUCAGACGACACCUUAGUACCCUUAAACCAGAUCUUGUUGCUUGAUUCUGCCCUUUGUUUUACAUGCCUAAUUUUGUGGAUUUGGAUCCAUAUAAAACUGUGGUCGAGCAUUGAGUUAAUGGUCUAAGAAGCUCACUGAUUUUACCUUUUACAGAUUCUGCUUAAUCACGAAAUCGUAGUUUGAUCAGUUCUGGUCCCUUGUUUGUUUUAAUAUAUCUGGAGUAAUAGACCUGUGGACUGUGAUAGAUAUGAGUAUUAUAUAUAGUUUGGGUUAGUUUAUAAAUCUCAUCGACUUUACCUAGACCACUAUGACGAAGAUAGUAAACACAAUAUAAUUAGCUAGUGGAAAAUAAUAAACCCUACAUAAUAAGCAUGCAUGAUCCGUAGAAACAAUAUAAUCCAGAAUGCGAAAAUACAAAAACAAAUCUGCCUUGGACGGCCACCACCUGGCCUGGCAGACGGCAAUACCGCAUGCAAGAUGCCCCACCGAAGCCUGCGAGCACAAUAAACAGUUAACUUAAAAAAACAAGACCACACUCCCUCUAUUAUAUUAAAAGGAGACCGAAACAAUAGUCCUGACCGAGAAAAUCUCCAAAUCUUAAACCCCAUCACUAACGGCCCAUCGAGCUAGUACUACUCAAAAGUCCUUAACCACUAAGCUCAGGCCCUUUCGGUUAACCAAACAACUGCUCUCUACAUCUGGGCCCAUCAGAGCUGGCUAGCUUCGGCCUGCCUCUCCAGAUGAAAUCAAUACAGGCAGCAAAUCAAGCAGGCCCUAUGUGGAGUCCAGCCAAGAGCACAGCAUAGUUUUUAUUCUUCAAGCUUGACUAAGGUAAUACCUCAGUUCACGAAUAUUCGACACCCGUUGACUUUUUUUCAAAAACUUUGUCUUAUUCAAUUCAAACCACCGUUUCCAGCAUGGUAAAUAAAUAAUUCAAACCACCGUUUCCAGCAUGGUACUGCGACGAAUGUGCUAACUGCUCGGUUCUAACUUCUAACUGCUAAUCAGCGGCAUUGCAAUCAUCAAUACGGACGGUGCCGGCCCCUGCGGCUGUUGUUGCUGUUACUACCAUGGUCAUCUCCCCUCUGCCGCUUUCCGCCGGAAGAGCUGGAUCCGCCACCACCGCUGCCACUACCACCGAAUCGACGACCACCUUGCUGUGGCAGAGGUGAAGUCGCAUGCACAGGCUGCUGCCCCGCGGCCUGUGGUCUGCCAAACACCAAGGAAAAUAUGAGUUGGCAUGGAAGCAUCAAUGCAGCAGUUGACUGCCCUUAAGGAUCCAAGGUACAAGAAACAAAAACUAGACUGCAGUGCUCUGCAUGGAUAACCAUCUAAAUUUCACCACUAUUGUGACCAUAAAAAAAA